Molecule: long non-coding RNA, 53886 nt
Filed under: Triticum aestivum (bread wheat)
Lineage: Eukaryota; Viridiplantae; Streptophyta; Magnoliopsida; Poales; Poaceae
Description: long non-coding RNA (TAES_LNC026909)
Source: RNAcentral
AUUUACGUGGUCAUUGUCAUGCUUAGCUGCUAGUGUUCUUGAUUGAUGGCUACCGGCGUGAAGAGUUAGUUGUAAGGUGGGCGGAAUUUUCUGGAUUAUGAUUUGUCGCCUGCGCAUCGAGACGAUUUGUGUUGCGGUGUUGAAAGGGAUUGGCGAAUAGGCCACAGAUUGAAGGCAAAUUGGGUUGUGAAUAAUAAGAGUUCGAGAGGGACAGAAGAGGAUUUGUGAGUGAGUGAGUGGAUUGUAGGUGCAGCAGGGAUAUAGUAUGCGGGGUGUAUAGAGAGAAGCAUGAGUUCAGUUCAAUUUAGUUAAAUUCAGUCAGACAUAAGUUUAGAACAAGAGAUUCAGAGUGUUAUUUCUUCCUUUUGUAUCCCAGUUACUUCUUGGUUAUUCGAUUAUUAUAUUAUUUAGUCAGCAUUUUUUUAGCUUUCUUCUUUUGUUAAGUGUUCUAGUCCAAUCACUUUGACGAAUUUUGUCAUGUCUUUCCUGUUCCGCUGAUGUGUUUUGUGAUGGUACUUGUUUCUUGUGGAUCACUGCUGCAGGUGACUUGCACUUUGCCAGAGUAGCAAGAUUGGAAACAUAUUCUGCUCUGAAUUAUUAGGGGAAAACACCUGCUGUUAUGGUUGCACUAUGAGGAUUUAGCCUGUGCCAUCGAACUUCAUCCGGAAAAUUAUUCUAGAAUUAGUCUAAUACGCCUCUGUAUCAAAAUUCUAGAAUCCUUCUAAUACUCCCUCUGUAUCAGAAUGUAAGAAGUUUUUUGACACUGCAUAGUGUUAAAAAACGUACAGAGGUGGUACAUUAGUACUAGUACAUAGCAACUGUCUGCGUACUGUCCCCAAGUCCUACGUUUAUGAGUGUCCUGCAUCUGAGUUCCUUUUCAUUUGCCCUGCCUACUGUAGCAGAAUGUUAGAACUUGAUAGAUGUAAAUUUGCGCAGUAGCUUUGCAAGCAUAUUACUCACGAAAGAAUCUACGAAAGCCGCUGAAGUACGUGAGAUCGGUGCAACUUUGCCUGUAUCCUCUUUUCUUGAUAAGGCAUGGUCGAGGUGCUGGUGAGAUCUGGAGCUCCUGCCACGUGCUCGCUUGCUUCAGAAGAAUCCUGCCAGGGGCACCAUUUUUCUUCUUCCCAAGAAACAUAUCUGAUCCUGGAACCCUGUGUUCUGCAGCAGCGGCUGCUAUGUUAUCCUCAUUGUUUACUUCAAGUCUGCAAUUCCUGUUGUUAACUUUUUUAAUUAGAUUCAUUUGCUGGUCUUGGAAGGAAAGGGGCAGAGAAGGACAGCCUGAGAUUCCAAUCCGAAUUAUUUUACUGUUUUGACCGUUGUCUGCUUACCCUUUGUGGCCAAAAGCUUGUGACUGUGAUUGUUAACUAGUUAACCUUCUGCUUUCGUAGCAACACUCGCUUUGGUAGUACUCCCUCCGUUCCUAAAUAUAAGUCUUUGGAGGCAUUUCACUAUAGACCACAUACGAAGUAAAAUAAAUGAACUACACUCUAAAAUGCAUCUAUAUACAUCCGUAUGUGGUCCAUAGUGAAAUCUCUACACAGACUUAUAUUUAGGAACGGAGGGAGUAUGUUUUUAUACUGUUAAUUUUCUCCUGGAAGCUCGCAAGACGUGGUGACUUGGUGAGUGCUGGUGCUAAGUGCCACCACACUAGUACGCACACUAGUACGCACAUUGGUCGACCGGCCAGCAGCAUUUGGUUCUUUUGAGAGGAAAAAAGAAAGGCCAUCAUGGUCUGAUAUCGCACCCCUUUGCGUCCGGGACGACCGUUGCGCACCUUUUGCUGGUUUUGAUCAUGGCCGCUCUUUUGAUCGCAUCAUUACAGCGCUCACUGGACGUUUGGAUUGAAACGAGGGUAAUUUUUUACGUACAUUGUUCAUUAGUUUCCUGUGUUCCAAAAUAUUUCAUUUAGUCAUAGUGGAGCAUUUGGGUAUUGACUGCGGGGAAUAUUGAGUAUCGUAAUUAGUUACAAAACAUAGAAUAACGUAGAAUUUAUUUCUACCUUGUUUCGUACUUCAUGUUGAUCAUGUGCUCCUAUAUACAUGCCCACAAAACUCAAGCAAUAUAUCAAUAAAUUUCACCAAUCUCCCAUCUAUUCAUGUAUAUGGUAUCAGAGUCAAGAUGUCUUGAGUUUAAAACCCGGCUAACGCAAUAAAAUUGCAGCCCACUUUCGAUCCAUAUUUAGGCCUGAAGGAACCAGACGUGAGGGGGACUGUUGACGUAUAAAUGCAUAGCCCACUUUUCGUUGUCAGCUUGAGCUUUUGGGUGAACUGACCGGUGCGUGCAAUUCCUACACUAGAGCCAGUCGUCAAAGCAAAGCCGCUCCGCCACUCCUAGCACCAUGAAAUUGCCAAAUGGUGACCAAUCAACUAGCCAUUUUCGGGUUCGUCUUCUACAUCUUGAAUCCUCAAGCGAGGACCGAUCCUUUCAUUUUCUUGACGUGAUUGUCGUGUUAUAGUCCUUUUCCACUAACCUCGUCCUCAACUCGGGGUAGCUUGUAGACAACGCCUAUAGUUCCUGCCACUUUGCGGCCUCUCACCCCUCUUCUGGUGAUCGAUGGUGAGGAUGGAAAUCGACUCUGCCAUUGUCCAAGCUUCCCCUUCAUGUUCGGUUGCCUCAUUUGUGCACCCCGCUGGCUAUCACGCCAUUCAACUCGCCUCGCCCACGAAGUGUUUGAACGAUUAUGUCCCGUUGGCAACUUUUUUUAAAAUAUUUGUUUUCUUAAUUUAUGUGUUGAUUUUGAUUAUAUUUACCACUCCUGAAAAAUGCAAGACAUAGACCAGAAGAGUUUUUCGACGACUCGUCAUCCAAGAAAGAAGAAGAAGAAUUCAAGGUGGCAUUGGUCAUGAUUAUUAAAAGGAAGAUGGGAAAAAGGGACGUGGUUCUUGAUGAGCAUACUCUACAUCCAUAAUUUCCUUGAGUUUAAUCAUUAUAUUCUUGAGGUUACCAAAAACACCCCAUUAGUUGUUACCUUUGGUUUUUUUUCUUUGUUUUGUGUUUUGUAGGGUUACUAGAUUAUUUCUUUAGUCUCAUGGACAUUUCGAUGAAGAAUGGAACCAAAUUUGGAAAGUUUGGUGUAUGUUAUGAGAAUCGAGUAUAUAGCAAAAAACUACCACAUUGCAGGCUACGGCUACAAAACCUACCACUUUCUUAAUUUUUCAAAAAACUACCAUAAAAUUGGUCCACUGUUCCAAAAAAACCUAGUCGCCGAACGAUUAAAAUUAAGCGGGGUUAUGACAGGUAGGGCCCACCCAUCAAGGUUUGGUCGAAUCCUGGCUGACGAUGCGCGUGGUGACGGCCAUUAGGCCGCAACCAUUUCGGCUGGUCCUGAUCAACCCGAGCCAUAUUCUCUAACCAAGGUUAUCAGUCCAGUAAGAAAACCAAGCAAUACCUUGUUAGCAGCACCUCCACACAAACAACAAUCCUUGCAACCCAACGUGAACAAGGGGUUGUCAAUCCCUGGACGAUUACGAGCAAGUUUAAAUUGUAUGGUAUUUGAUAGAUAGAUCGUACAAAAAUAUAAAAUAAAAUAAAUAAAGUAAAAAACGCAACAAGGUAUUUUUGGUUUUAAUAUAUGAUAAAAGAUAGACCCGGGGGCUGAUACGUCUCCAACGUAUCUACUUUUCCAAACUCUUCUACCCUUGUUUUGGACUCUAAUUUGCAUGAUUUGAAUGGAACUAACCCGAACCGACGCUGUUUUCAGCAGAAUUGCCAUGGUGCUAUUUUUGUGCAGAAAUUAAAGUUCUAGAAAUGACCUAAAACUUCACCGAGUCACUUUUUGAAAUUAAAAAAAAAUAUCGGCGAAAGAAUCAGCAGAAGGGGGCCCACACCCUAUCCAUGAGGGCGGGCGCGCGCCCUACCCCCAUGGGCGCGCCCCUGCCUCGUGGGCCCCCCUGGAGCUCCACCGACCUCAACUCUAACUCCAUAUAUUCACGUUCGGGGAGAAAAAAUCAGGGAGAAGGAUUCAUCAUGUUUUACGAUAUGGAGCCGCCGCCAAGCCCUGUUCUUCCUCAGGAGGACUGAUCUAGAGUCCGUUCGGGGCUCCAGAGAGGGGAAUCUGUCGCCAUCGUCAUCAUCAACCAUCCUCCGUCACCAAUUUCAUGAUGCUCACCGCCGUGCAUGAGUAAUCCCAUCAUAGGCUUGCUGGACGGUGAUGGGUUGGAUGAGAUUUACCAUGUAAUCGAGUUAGUUUUGUUAGGGUUUGAUCCCUAUUAUCCAUUAUGUUCUAAGAUUGAUGUUGUUAUGACUUUGCUAUGCUUAAUGCUUGUCACUAGGGCCGAGUGCCAUGAUUUUAGAUGUGAACCUAUUAUGUUUUCAUGAAUAUAUGAGUGUUCUUGAUCCUAUCUUGCAAGUUAUAGUCAACUACUACGUGCUAUGAUCAGGCAACCCCGAAGUGACAAUAAUCGGGACCACUCUCGGUGAUGACCGUAGUUUGAGGAGUUCACGUAUUCACUAAGUGUUAAUGCUUUGGUCCGGUUCUCUAUUAAAAGGAGGCCUUAAUAUCCCCUAGUUUCCAAUAGGACCCGCCUGCCACGGGAGGGUAGGACAAAAGAUAACAUGCAAGUUCUUUUCCAUAAGCACGUAUGACUAUAUUCGGAAUACAUGCCUACGUUAUAUUGAUGAACUGGAGCUAGUUCUGUGUCACCCUAUGUUAUAACUGUUGCAUGAUAAAUGCCAUCCGACAUAAUUAUCCAUCAUUGAUCCAUUGCCUAUGAGCUUUUCAUAUAUUGAUCUUUGCUUAGUUACUUCUCCGUUGCCACUGUUAUGAUUGCUACAAAACUAUUACUGUUACUUUUGCCACCGUUAUCGUUACUUCCAUAGUACUUUGCUACUGAAUACUUUGCUGCAGAUAUUAAGUUUUUCAGGUGUGGUUGAAUUGACAACUCAGCUGCUAAUACUUGAGAAUAUUCUUUGGCUCCCCUUGUGUUGAAUCAAUAAAUUUGGGUUGAAUACUCUACCAUUGAAAACUGUUUCGAUCCCCUAUACUUGUGGGGUAUCAAGACCUUUUUCGAGCGCCGUUGCCGGGGAGCAUAGCUCUAUUCUCUGAGUCACUUGGGAUUUAUAUCUGUUGAUCACUAUGACGAAUCUGAAAGACAACAAAACUAAGAUCUAUCCUUCAACUAUGAUGGGAGGUAAGGAACUGCCAUCUAGCUCUGUAGUUGAUUCACCUUCUGUUUUGAGUAAACUUGCAACACCUACACCUGCUAUUGAUUCCGAUAUGUCGCAUGUUAUUGAUGAUGCCACUUAUGCUAUGCAUGAUGCUUAUGAUUAUACUACUUCUCUGCUUGAUAAUAAUGUGCCACUGGGUGAAUUUCUUGAUGAACAACUUGCUAGGAUUAGAGAGAAUGAAAUUACUGAAACUGAUGAUAUUAAUGAAAGUGAUGAUGAAGAUUCUCCCCCUAGAUAUGAAUUGCCUAUUGAACCUGAAGGUUAUGUUAUGGAUGAAGAAACUGCUAGAGACCUUUUUGCUUGCAAUGAUAAAUAUGAUCUUAAGAAACUGUUAGUUAAGCUGAAAUAAAAGUCUUUGAAUGCUAGAAUAAAAUAUGAUCCUGCUUUUGCUAAUUCACCUAUUUGUGUUACUGAUAAGGAUUAUGAAUUCUCUGUCUAUCCUGAGUUAAUUACUUUGGUUGAAUCUGAUCCUUUCUAUGUCUAUCAAUCUGAAACUAUUGUGGCACAUCUUACUAAACUGAAUGAUAUAGCCACCCUAUUCACUCAUGAGGAAAAAAAUUGCUAUUACUAUAUUCUUAAAUUGUUUCCUUUCUCAUUAAAGGGUGAUGCUAAGAUAUAGUUUAAUUCUCUUGCUCCUGGUUGUGUGCGUAGUCCCCAGGAUAUGAUUUACUACUUCUCUGCAAAAUAUUUCCCUGCUCAUAAGAAAUAAGCAGCCUUGCGGGAAAUAUUUAAUUUUGUGCAAAUUGAAGAAGAGAGUCUCCCACAAGCUUGGGGGAGGCUUCUCCAAUUAGUUAAUGCUUUGCCUGAUCAUCCUCUUAAGAAAAAUGAAAUACUUGAUAUCUUUUAUAAUGGACUAACUGAUGCUUCUAGAGACCACCUCGAUAGUUGCGCUGGUUGUGUUUUCAGGGAAAGAACUGUUGAACAAGCUGAACUGCUAUUGAAUAAUAUAUUGAGUAAUGAUAAUGAUUGGACACUUCCUGAACCAACUCCUAAGCCAACUCUGAAGAAAAGGGGUAUUCUAUUUCUCAGUCCUGAAGAUAUGUAAGAGGCAAAGAAAUCUAUGAAAGAAAAAGGUAUUAAAGCUGAAGAUGUUAAGAAUUUACCGCCUAUUGAAAAGAUAAAUGGUCUUGAUAACCUGACAUAGGUAGUGAUGGUAAAUUCUCUCUAUAGAUUUGAUAAGGGUGAAAUCUGUAGGAUCGAAAGUAUGUCUAGAGGGGGGGGGGUGAUUAGACUACUUGACCAAAUAAAAACUUAACCUUUUCCCAAUUUUAGUUCUUGGCAGAUUUUUAGCAACUUAGCACAAGUCAAGCAAUCACAAUACAAUUCAAGCAAGCAUGCAAAGAGUAUAUGAGCAGCGGAAAGUAAAACAUGCAACUUGCAAGAAAGUAAAUGGGGGGAGUUUGAAGGGAGCAAACGCAAUGUUGACACGGAGCUUUUUGGUGUGGUUCCGAUAGGUGGUGCUAUCAUACAUACACGUUGAUGGAGACUUCAACCCACGGAGGGUAACAGUUGCGCGAGUCCACGGAGGGAUCCACCCACGAAGGGUCCACAAAGAGCAACCUUGUCUAUCCCAUCAGGCCAUCGCCCAUGAAGGACUUGCCUCACGAGGGUAGAUCUUCAUGAAGUAGGCGAUCUCCUUGCCCUUACAAACUCCUUGGUUCAACUCCACAAUCUUGACGGAGGCUCCCAUCUGACACCUAACCAAUCUAGGAGACACCACUCUCCAAAAGGUAAUAGAUGGUGUGUUGUUGAUGAACUCCUUGAUCUUGUGCUUCAAAUGAUAGUCUCCCCAACACUCAACUCUCUCUCACAGAUUUGGCUAUGGUGGAAAGAUGAUUUGAGUGGAAAGCAACUUGGGGAAGGCUAGAGAUCAAGAUUCAUAUGGUAGGAUUGGAAUAUCUUGGCCUCAACACACGAGUGGAUGGUUCUCUCUCAGAAAAUGAGUAGUGGAAGUGUAGGUUUGUUCUGAUGGCUCUCUCCAUGAAUGAAGAGAAGGGUGGAGGGGUAUAUAUAGCCUCCACACAAAAUCUAACCAUUACACACAGAUUCCCAAACUCGAUGGGACCUAAUCAGCAAACUCGGUCAGACCGAUUUAGUUCAAAAUGUCAACGUUAGGAAUUUCGAUGGGACCAGUAUAGUUAUCUCGGUGGGACCGAUAUGCUAGGGUUAGGGCAUAACGUAAUCUCGGUGUGACCGAUCGUAUAAACUCGGUGGGACCAAUUUCAGCAAAUAGGUACACAGAGGGUUGAUCAGGCAAACUCGGUGGGACCGAUUCACUCACUUCGGUGGGUGUCGGUGUCAAAACCGGCGGCUCUCGGGUAGGGGGUCCCGAACUAUGCGUCUAAGGCUAAUGGUAACAGGAGGCGGGGGACACAAUAUUUACCCAGGUUCGGGCCCUCUCUAUGGAGGUAAUACCCUACUUCCUGCUUGAUUGAUCUUGAUGAAUAUGAGUAUUACAAGAGUUGAUCUACCACAAGAUCAUAACGGCUAAAACCCUAGAAGUCUAGCCUGUGUGAUGAUGGCGUUCCCCUAUGGACUAAACCCUCCGGUUUAUAUAGACACAAGAGGGGACUAGGGUUGUACAAAUUCAGUUACAGAGAAAGGAAUCUACAUAUCUGAAUCACCAAGCUUGCUAUCCACGCAAUGGAGAGUCCCAUCCGGACACGGGAAGAAGUCUUCUAUCUUGUAUCUUCAUAGCCCAACAGUCCGACCCAUGUUAAUAGUCCAUCCAUCCGAGGGCCCCUUAAUCCAGGACCCCCUCAGUAGCCCCUGAACCAGGCUUCAAUGACGAUGUGUCCAGCCCGCAGAUUGUCUUCGGCAUUUCAAGGCGGGUUCCUUCUCCGAAUACUCCAAAAUAGUCUUCGAGCACAAGAAUCAUGCCCGGCUCUGCAAAAAAAACAUUCCACACACAACCGUAGAGAGUAUAAUAUUCCACGAGUCCAAUCCGCUGACAACUUUUUGUAGCAUGACAUCAUGUCACCGCCCGGCCAUUAUUCGAACCAUUUUUAGCCUGCCGCUCCGUAUUUCGAGGUGCGGUUUCAUUGGCACGUCUUGUCAAAGCAGAGAUCGUGUCCCCUUAUUGCGGGAUUCUCAUCAAUAUGGGCAUGGGUAACCCAACCGUUCCGUUGGCAUGAUUCCUUUGGAAUAGGCAUGUUUUAAGGCCUAGGAGGGACGUUUGAUAUUCAUUUCCUUUAUAAAGGAGCAGAGACUCGUCCUUCUUCCUUUACUCCCAGCCUUUUCAACCUCUCCCACCUCGAGUUCCAACACCCAAAGUUCAAUCCAAUCACUUCGCGCUUCCCAUCAUGUCCGGUCUCAGCCUUCAAGGCCGGUGGGUGGCCUCCUCUAUCUCAGAGGAGGAUAUCGUGAAGCUCCGGUAGGCAAGAUACCUGACUGCGGAAAUCCUCCACAGGCUUCCUUCUCAAGGGCAAGCUAUUCCUACUCCUAGAUCCAAUGAGAGAGUUGUAUUCAUCUCCCACUUCCUCCGAGGGCUAGGAUUCACUUUUCAUCCCUUCGUCCGAGGGCUCAUGUUCUAUUACGGGUUAGAUUUUCAUGAUCUAGCUCCGAAUUCUUUUCUUCACAUCUCGUCGUUUAUUAUCGUGUGCGAAGCCUUCCUCCGUAUUUCCCCACACUUCGGCUUGUGGCUCAAGACCUUUAAUGUGAAGCCAAAGGUAGUCGACGGGAAACAGGCAGAGUGUGGUGGUGCUGCGGUGAGAAAGCUAGCCAAUACUACUUGGCCAAAGGGCUCCUUCACAGAAACUUCCGACCUGUGGUAGCGAGAGUGGUUCUACAUCACUGAACCCCGUGGUACCAGGUGGGCAGCUACUCCUGCGUUCCGAUCUGGCCCUCCGUUACAGCUCGCAUCAUGGAUUAAUAAGGGGCUGGACUGGGGAUCCGUCGGUGAAGUGUAGACGCUGCAAAGCCGCAUUUGGAGCCUCAUUGAAAAGGACACCAGUACCAUCAAUGUAAUCCAAGUAAUGCUGGUCCGGCGGGUCCUAUCGUGCCAGCGACGGCCUCUCCGCAUGUGGGAGUUUAAUCCGGAAGGACCACGAACCCUUCAGCACCUCUCCGACACGAUGCUUAGAGGAAUGUGGAAAUCAUUCUUUGGGACGCCAAAACAAUGGCCGGGUACUACAGAGGACAUUGGCCUUGACUGCAACCAUCCGGAUACCUCGGUAAGUACUCGACUUCCGAACACUGUUUAGUCAAAUUCCUCAUAACAAUAUACUGAGAAAAUCAUACUCGGCCAGGGAUGGAUAAAGAAGGCGGAGAGAAUUAGGUGUUCGGCCCCUCUUCCCGAAGACUCAGCCGAUCCGGUGUUAACAAGGAUGCUGGCUCCGGCACCCUACCAAGUUCCGGUAAGGGAAGACAAAGAGGAGAGUGAGGAGGCCCAAGGUGGCCUCCAUUCUAGAGGCACGCCAGGCACUUUGUCCGGGGAGAUUGGAAUUUCCACUUCCAAAGGUGGAAGGGAAGGGCAAAUUGACAUCCCUUCUCCUCAUGGGAAGAAGAAGACCGCCUCCGAAGACUUGAAGAGAGAAGCUUCUAAGCGAGGGAAGAUAUCCUGGUCAGGGGGUUCUGGUUCGGGAGGUGACGUUGACACGCAGUCUCUCUAUAAAGAUAGGCCCUUAGUUAUCAUAAGUGAACAAGGGUGUUUUAAACAUAUCCCGUUCUUUCCUGGCUGUAAGGGUAACAUUUAUAAUAUAUGUUUGCAGUCCGGCACGCAGCUUUCCUCAACAGUCCUCCUCUUCGGGGGAUCUUCUUCCGGAGAUGAUGGAGAGCUAGACGCCUCCACAGAUCUCCCUGCUUAAUAAGGCAGGCGACGCCGAGGUGUCAUCCUGGAGGAUCUCUCCUGAUCAACGAGCGGUGCAAGGGACAGUGAAGACCGGACCCGAAGGUGACACUUCGGCCAGCCAAUAUCCGGGGUGUGCGGCCCCUACGGGGACCAACAACAAAGGUCCCAGACUAUCCAAGUUCCGAGGGACGACGCAAUCUACUCUGGAUCCGGAGGCGCCAGAUACAUUGAUGGACACAUUGUGACAUGCGUCCGUCUUAGAGGAACAUCGUACCUUGAUGGGUACGGUGGUUAAGAGGGUUCGGUCCGCGAAAAGCGGAUUGAAUGAAGCCUUUACGAGCCUGCUAAGAGGCUUCGAGGUACGUAAUGUAAUGUUUUUAAUUGUGUGAUAAAUGCAAAAUGCGCUUGUGUAUAGAUAGUAGCCCUUGAGACUCUAGUUGGCGUCCAAAGGGAGGGAUUAGAUGGUCAAGAAAUAUAUGCUCAGGAAAUGAUCUGACUAAUUUGAAACACAGGUUGUUACAUCUGUGGCAACUUCCCAAACUUUAGAGAUUGCACAUCUGAAGUAGAAAGUUGAUGUGGCAGAUGAUGACAUCACGCUUAUUAACAGGCGGCUCGACGAGGCACAAGGUAUGUUUUUGGGGCAUUCAGUGUAUGCAAGUACUAUAAUAUGAGCAUGACGCUGAAAAUUGAACACUGAGAUAUGCAUUACUGCAGACAGUGCCUCCACAGUUGAGACCCUUCGAGCUGAGCUCGCCCGAGCCAAAGAGCAGGCUAGGAUAAGUAAUGCGGCUGCCGAAAAGGCAGCUAUUGAAUUAAAGGCCGAGCAGGCUGCGCGGCGCCAGUGCGAGGAAAGAAUAUCCACUAUGGAGCUUUAGCUAAAAGAUGCCGCUAGCCGAUGUGACCGUCUCGAGAGAGAUAACAAAACCAAAAUGCCUAAUCUUGAUAAGGCCUUACAAGAGGCGCGGGAAGCACGGUCCGAGUCUAGAGCGACUCGGGAGGAGAUCCGUCAAGAUGGGGAGACCGCGGCUGGUAAGUCCUUCUUAUUGCAAACUAAAUUUGGUGAUCCAAAGUAUGCCCUGCUGUAACGCCCGGAUAAUCUUGCUACAGUAAUCCCACGCUAAUCAUGGCACGUCAUCCCGAUUACUGUUGCUAUCCUCGCAAUAAUUCGAAACCGUUCAAAUUCAAAAUUCAAAUUGAUGAAAACAAUAAAAGUUUUCAAAAUUUAAAAUAAAAUUGUUCGGUGGUUGACGAAUAUUACAAAGGUAAUUAUAGUGCAACAGACAUAUUUUUAUAAAAUGGCUAAAUGGAUUAAAUGAUUUAAACAGAAAAGGAAUAAUAAAAGAAAAUACAAAAUGAAAGAAAAACAGAAAACCAAAAAGAAAAAAAAACAAAUGGAGGGAAGCCCCCCCUCCCUGCUGGACCGCGGCCCAGCUGGCCAUCGGGCCAACCAGGCCGGCCCAGGUCGGACCCCACUUCCCCUCCCUUAUCCACUCACCUCCCCCCCCCACUCCCCACCGACACCCCACUCCACCACCUCGCCCCGGCCUCGCUUCGUCCGCCCCGACGCACCGUCCUGGCCACCCCCCCUUGCUCGCCGCCGUAUGGGCAGCUCCUGCCGGCCCGCGUCGCCGGUGGCGCCCUGCUGCUCCCCCGUCGACGUUUCCCCUCCGGUGGCCGCCCGGCCUUGCCCCGGUCCUCCUCACCCCGGCGGUUUGGGCGAGUGCCCAGUCGGGCUCGCACCCGCACCCGCAACCGCACCGCCCUGUGCCCGCUAAGGCCCCUGCUACCCCGGCCUGACCUCGCCCCUUCCCCCCAUCGGUGUCGUGCCCGCCGGUGCCCUUCUGGGUGCCGCGGCGCUCGCUCCUGGGCUGCACAGCCCCAGGCCUUGUGCCACUGACCAGGGGGCCCCAUGCCCCUGUUAAAAAAAACGAACGAAAUUGAAAAAUAGAAAUAAUUAUUUAAUUAAUUAGUAAUUUGAUUAAUUAAUUAAUUUGCUUAGUUAACUACCUAAUUAACUUUGAUUAAUUAGCCUAAUGAACAUAUUUAGUCUAAUUAAACCUGCUUAGUUAAACUAGUCUAUGACGAUGGGCCCCAUUGCCUGUUUGACCAGUCAACGUUGACCCAGUCAACAGCUGACUAGACUGUUGACUUUGACUCUGACCCCACCUGUCAUACACUAUGGCUGGCACUGCACUUUGUGACAAUAGUUUUACUGACUAAAUUUUGGAGUUAAAUAAAUCAAUAUAAUCAUAUAAAACUUUGGAAAUUCAUAUAAAAUAAUCCGUAACUCGGAUGAAAAUACUGUCUACAUGAAAGUUGCUCAGAACGACGAGACGAAUCCGGUUACGCAGCCCGUUCGUCCGCCACACACCCCUAGCAUACCGAACAUGCAACUUUCCCCCUCCGGUUCACCGGUCCGAAAACGCGGAACACCGGGAAUACUUUCCCGGAUGUUUUCCCCCUUCGUCGGUAUCACCUACUACCGCGUUAGGGCACACCGAACACCGCGUAUUGCCUUGAUAUAUUUUGUGGUGCUUUGUCUGCUCUGUAUUCAUUAUUUCUUCCCCCUCUUCUCUCCGGUAGACUACGAGACCGACGCUGCUGCUGACCAGUUCGACUACGGAGUUGACGACCCCUCCUUCUUGCCAGAGCAAUCAGGCAAGCCCCCUCCUUGAUCACCAGAUAUCGCCUAUUCUUAUCUAUACUGCUUGCAUUAGAGUAGUGUAGCAUGUUACUGCUUUCCGUUAAUCCUAUUCUGAUGCAUAGCCUGACAUUGUCGCUACAUCUAUUGAUACCUUACCUGCAAUCCUAAAUGCUUAGUAUAGGAUGCUAGUUUAUCAUCAUUGGCCCUACAUUCUUGUCAGUCUGCCUUGCUAUACUAUCGGGCCGUGAUCACUUGGGAGGUGAUCACGGGUAUUUACUAUACAUACAUACAUACAUACUAUACAGAUGGUGACUAAAGUCGGGUCAGCUCGAAGAGUACCCGCAAGUGAUUCUGACGAGGGGGCUGAAAGGACAGGUGGCUCCAUCCCGGUAGAGGUGGGCCUGGGUUCCCGACGGCCCUCGACUGUUACUUUGUGGCGGAGCGACAGGGCAGGUUGAGACCGCCUAGGAGAGAGGUGGGCCUGGCCCUGUUCGGCGUUCGCGGACACUUAACACGCUUAACGAGAUCUUGGUAUUUGAUCUGAGUCUGGCUACGAGCCUAUACGCACUAACCAUCUACGUGGGAGUAGUUAUGGGUAUCCCGACGUCGUGGUAUCAGCCGAAGCACUUCAGACGUCAGCGACGGAGCGGCGCGCGCUGAAUUGGACUGGAACGCCACUAGGCUAGGUCUGCUUUCGGCCGCGUACGCAACGUGCAGGUGUGCUAUGGGCGAUGGGCCCAGACCCCUGUGCGCUUAGGUUUAGACCGGCGUGCUGGCCUCUCUGUUGAGCCUAGGUGGGGCUACGACGUGUUGAUCUUCCGAGGCCGGGCAUGACCCAGGAAAGUGUGUCCGGCCAAAUGGGAUCGAGCGUGUUGGGUUAUGUGGUGCACCCCUGCAGGGAAGUUAAUCUAUUCGAAUAGCCGUGAUCUUCGGUAACAGGACGACUUGGAGUUGUACCUUGACCUUAUGACAACUAGAACCGGAUACUUAAUAAAACACACCCUUCCAAGUGCCAGAUACAACCGGUGGUCGCUCUACCUCAGGGAUAUGAGGAGGGGAUCGCCGGGUAGGAUUAUGCUAUGAGAUGUUACCUGGAGAUGCUACUUGGAGGACUUCGACCUACCCUCUUCUGCCUGUUGCAAGACGAAGGUGACCAGAAGUGUAGUCUUCGAUAAGACUAGCUAUCCCCCUCUUAUUCUGGCAUUCUGCAGUUCAGUCCACUGAUAUGGCCCUUUACACAUAUACCCAUGCAUAUGUAGUGUAGUUCCUUGCUUGCGAGUACUUUGGAUGAGUACUCACGGUUGCUUUCUCCCCCCUUUUUUCCCCUUUUCCUUCCUUUCUGGUUGUCGCAACCAGAUGCUGGAAUCCAGGAGCCAGACGCCACCGUCGACGAUGACCCCUACUACACUGGAGGUGCCUACUACUACGUGCUGCCCGCUGAUGAGGACCUGGAGUAGUUUAGGAGGAUCCCAGGCAGGAGGCCUGCGCCUCUUUCGAUCUGUAUCCCUGUUUGUGCUAGCCUUCUUAAGGCAAACUUGUUUAACUUAUGUCUGUACUCAGAUAUUGUUGCUUCCGCUGACUCAUCUAUGAUCGAGUACUUGUAUUCGAGCCCUCGAGGCCCCUGGCUUGUAUUAUGAUGCUUGUAUGACUUAUUUAUGUUUUAGAGUUGUGUUGUGAUAUCUUCCCGUGAGUCCCUGAUCUUAAUCGUACACAUUUGCGUGCAUGAUUAGUGUACGAUUGAAUCGGGGGCGUCACAAGUUGGUAUCAGAGCCGACUGCCUGUAGGAAUCCCCCUUCCACACUCCUUGGCCGAAGUCGAGUCUAGACAUUACAAAAACUUUUACUAACUUGGCUGUGUGCCUUACGGGCCCACGUCGCCAUCGGGUGGUACUAGGAUCUUUUACUCCUCGACCUUUACUCUGGGACUCUGAACUCUUUUCUACUCGGGUUAAACGAAUUUACUAACUCUAACAUUAGGAUCCCGUUACCACGUUCACCCCGAAGUUGGAUAAGCCAUAGUUAUUCUGUAGGAUAGCAUUUUGAAUAGUGCCCAUGUUGUCAUUUGACUCCAUUGAAACAUCUUUGUUUUCAGAUGGAACCCACGAGGCAGGUCGUGCGCCACACUACGGCCAUUGGUGCCUCAGGAUCACCUGCUGUGCUAGCUGAUAUGAUGACCUAUCUGGGUUAUCGCUGGCACCCUGAGUACACCGUCUACGAGGAGUACCAGGACUUUAACCAGGAGCAGUACCGUGCCAUCGUCCACCUCUACUCUCGGGAGUAUGAGUCCACUACCGUGCUGCACACCGCUCAUGGUGUUGGAGUGACCAUCGAGAUGGCAGUCCAUGAUGCGGCUCAUGCUGCUCUGACACGUCUUCGUGGAGAGUAUCAGGCAUUGGACACUUCCCCUUUCAGGCACAUUCCUAUCGCAUCUGACGUUGGUGCGGAGGGAUACUACACUGCCGCCUACUCCACCGUCACCCGAGAGCCCUUCCAUCAUCAGCGCCUGGUUCUGCAUGCUGAUGGGCUGGACCGAGCUAACAGAGCUCUUCUCCACGAGUUGUACACCACUCGUCAGCACCUUUACAGGGCUCUGACGCGGUUGCACCCCUUUGUCCGGUCUGGACAGCUGCCGCGUUCUGCGAUCUACCCAGCCAGGACCGUGAUGCCCCACGGUGUCGGAUGGCCCGAGGUGGGAGGCUACUCUCCCGCACUUGGUCCUCUUCUGCCACCUGAGCGUCGGGUUCUACACCAGAGUAUCCGCGGCCCCCAGGCCACUGACGUGGAGGACUAUCCGUUGCCUCACUACCAGCUGUCAGGUUACAGCUACCUUCACAGUACCUCCUGGGACUGAUGUAGUCUUGCUCAUUAGUCUUAGAUGCACUCGCGAGCCUGCGUGCCGCCUAUGAUGACUUAAUAUAUGUACUGAACUCUGUGUACUGAACUCUAUGUCCGACCCCUUUUGUAAGUUAUGCCGACUAGCUAUGUGGUAUCUGUCGUGCUCCUUUCAUUAUGCAUGUUUCAUCAUGAAUGACUCUUGUCUAUGCAAAUUUCUCAAUAUUGAACUACCCCUGUUAUAUAUUAACAGGAUGGUUAGACCAGCUGGUCGUGGUCGUGGUGGCAACUUCCCACCACCGCCUGAGUACAUGGCUGGUAUGAUCCAACAGCUUGAGAUGAAUCGCCAGUUCAUGGAAAACAUGAUGGCUCAGUUUCCUCGCCCCAAUAUGAACCAGCAUCCAAACACAACCACUCUGCAGGAUUUCAUACGCCUCAACCCAAGUGUGUACCGCAGCUCAACCCAGCCGCUGAAUGCUGAUGACUGGCUCCGUGACAUCACCUAUGAGAUGGAGUCUGCUGAUGUAGCCCCUGCCAGCUAUGUCACUUUUGCUUCCUUCUUCCUGAAGGGACCCGCAGCGCAAUGGUGGGACAGCCACAGGCGUACUCUGCCAGUUGGGACAAUCAUCUCCUGGCCAGACUUUCAGGCUGCCUUCCGUGCCCGCUUCAUUCCUCAGGGAAUCAUGGACAGGAAGAAGCGUGAGUUCCGCAACCUCACCCAAGGCAACAAGACUGUUGAAGCUUAUCAGCGGGAGUUUCUGGACUUAUCCCGCUAUGCUGAAGAAGACAUUGCAACUGAUGCUCGCAGACAGGAGAAGUUCCAUGAAGGCCUUCAAGCUGACAUCAAGCUCACACUUCUAGUGCAUGACUUUGCCGAUUUCGCCACCUUGGUGAACAAGGCCAUCAAUGUAGAGACUGGUCUGCAAGAACACCAGAGCUCUCAAAGGCGCAACCGUGACACGGGCUCAUCUUCGGGCCCGCCCUCGCAGAAGCGUAAGAUAUGGAUCCCGAACAGCAUGUACCGUCCAACUGCACCUGCCCCAAGGCAGUCUUAUGCUGCACCUCGUCUGCCGGCUGCUCCAACUAGGCAGCCGAGGCUUCCAGCUCCACCACCCCAAGCUCCUGUUCCUACCCCCGAGAAUGGGUUGUGCUUCAGGUGCGGACAACCAGGGCACCGUGCUAGGGAAUGCAACCAGAAACAGAAUCAACUGGCCCUUCCAGCAACUGGCCGUGGGAACAACCAGGCCCGCAACAACAAUGCCAAGUCCUAUGGCCGUGUUCAUGCCAACCACCUUGAUCUGAAUGAAGCUCAAGACCAGCCUGCUACUGUGAUGGGUACACUCCUCGUGAAUUCAGUACCAGCAUCCGUUUUAUUUGAUACAGGUGCAUCGCAUUCAUUCAUGUCCGAAGAUUUUGCAUACAAGCACGAUGUUAAAUUUGAGCAGAUGAACACUUUGGUAGUGGUAAAAACCCCCGCGGGACAAUGUCAGACCUCCAUGGUUGGCAUUGACGUCCCUGUGGAAAUCGAAGGGUUGGAGUUUCGUGCCUCGCCCAUUAUACUGAAGUCGUCUAACAUUGACCUCAUUCUGGGAAUGGAUUGGUUAAAGGCGCAUACUGCUUCUAUCGUUUGCGCCACUAAGACCGUCCAUCUGCUACACCCUUCUGAUGAAAUAAUUAGCUACGAUGCUCAUCUGGUUCGGAAUGCCGAGGCCAGACUUUAUGCCUUAAACGCAUUGAACGCUGCACCACUUGAGGGCAUUGAAAACAUUCCCGUCGUGCGUGAAUUCCUAGACGUCUUUCCUGAAGAACUCCCAGGGAUUCCCCCUGCUAGAGCUGUCGAAUUCGUCAUCGACUUGAAACCAGGCACCACUCCUAUAGCCAAGCGACCCUACAAGAUGCCGCCGCAUGAACUCCUUGAGCUUAAGGAGGAAAUCGAUAAAUCUCUUCGAAGUGGUUUCAUUCGCCCAAGUUGCUCUCCUUGGGGAGCACCUUCUCUCUUUGUCAAGAAGAAAGAUGGGACAAACCGGUUGGUCCAAGACUACCGUCCUAUAAACCAAGCUACCAUUCAGAAUAAGUAUCCUCUUCCUCGGAUCAAUGAUCUGUAUGAUCAAUUGGCUGGAUCAUCAGUGUUCUCUAAACUCGACUUGAGGUUGGGUUACCACCAGAUCCGUGUUUGUGAGGAAGAUAUCCCCAAGACCGCCUUUGUGACUCGUUAUGGUUCAUACGAGUACACCGUCAUGUCUUUCGGCUUAACCAAUGCUCCAGCCACCUUCUCUCGCCUGAUGAACUAUAUAUUCAUGGAUUACCUCGACAAGUUCGUCGUGGUUUAUCUGGAUGAUAUUCUGGUAUUUUCCAAGAACGAAGAGGAACAUGCUGAACAUCUUCGCCUCGUGCUGGAAAAGCUACGAGAGCAUCAACUUUAUGCCAAGUUCUCCAAAUGUGAAUUCUGGCUUCCCGAAGUAACCUAUCUUGGGCAUGUCAUCUCUAAGGAUGGUAUUGCCGUCAACCCUGAACGAGUUCAGGCUAUUCUCGAUUGGACUCCUCCGAAGAACGUUAAGCAAGUCAGAAGUUUUCUCGGUCUCGCCAGCUACUGCCGUCGAUUCGUCGAGAACUUCUCCAAGAUUGCCAGGCCUCUGACUAACCUAUUGCAUAAGGGCGUCAAGUUCCAAUGGACAGAUAAAUGUCAGGAAAGUUUCCAGGCACUCAAGGACAAGUUAACUUCUGCCCCAGUACUAGCUCCUCCUGAUACUAAGAAGGACUUCGUCAUUUACUGCGACGCUUCCCGUCAAGGACUAGGCUAUGUCCUAAUGCAAGAGCACAAAGUGGUUGCUUAUGCCUCUCGGCAAUUGCGCCCUCACGAAGAGAACUACCCAGUUCAUGACCUCGAACUUGCUGCUGUCAUUCAUGCGCUAAAACAGUGGCGACAUUACCUGCUCGGUAAUCGCUGCGAGAUCUUCACCGACCACCAAAGUCUGAAGUAUCUGUUUACUCAGCCAGACCUGAACCUCCGUCAGCAGAGAUGGAUGGAGACUGUUGCAGACUUUGAUUUGGGUAUUUCCUAUACACCAGGCAAGGCUAAUGUAAUGGCUGAUGCCUUGAGCCGCAAGUCUUACUGCAACCACCUCCAGGUUCACAAAGUCCAGCCCUCACUUGUUGAAGAAUUCAGAAAGCUAAACCUCCAUAUUGUACCUCCGGGUGCACUCGCUCCCCCUCCUCCGGAGUUCCACAAGAUGAAUCUCCGUGUUGUUUCCCAGGGUUCCCUCUAUACCCUGGCUGUUGAACCCGAUCUCGUGGGCACCAUAAAGACAAUGCAGGGAUUUGACUCUGAAGUCUACAAGAUUAAGCAAGACCUCAAAGAAGGAAGUUCCUCAUCCUUCACUAUUGCUGAUGAUGGCGCCUUGUACUUCAAAGGCCGCCUAGUGGUGCCGUGUAAGAAGGAAAACCUGAAUAUGACUCAGGAGGUUAUGAAAGAAGCUCAUGAUACGCCUCUAUGUAUCCAUCCUGGUAGUACGAAGAUGUAUCAAGACAUUCGUCAGAGAUUCUGGUGGUCUAACAUGAAGCAAGACAUUGCUCGUUAUGUUGCUGAAUGUGACGUUUGCCGUCGUAUCAAAGCAGAACAUCAAAGACCUGCUGGAACUCUGCAACCUAUAUCUAUUCCUGAAUGGAAAUGGGACCACGUCGAGAUGGACUUCGUUACUGGAUUUCCCAAAUCGCAAAAGGGUAAUGAUGCUAUUCUUGUCGUCAUUGACCGACUUUCUAANNNNNNNNNNNNNNNNNNNNNNNNNNNNNNNNNNNNNNNNNNNNNNNNNNNNNNNNNNNNNNNNNNNNNNNNNNNNNNNNNNNNNNNNNNNNNNNNNNNNNNNNNNNNNNNNNNNNNNNNNNNNNNNNNNNNNNNNNNNNNNNNNNNNNNNNNNNNNNNNNNNNNNNNNNNNNNNNNNNNNNNNNNNNNNNNNNNNNNNNNNNNNNNNNNNNNNNNNNNNNNNNNNNNNNNNNNNNNNNNNNNNNNNNNNNNNNNNNNNNNNNNNNNNNNNNNNNNNNNNNNNNNNNNNNNNNNNNNNNNNNNNNNNNNNNNNNNNNNNNNNNNNNNNNNNNNNNNNNNNNNNNNNNNNNNNNNNNNNNNNNNNNNNNNNNNNNNNNNNNNNNNNNNNNNNNNNNNNNNNNNNNNNNNNNNNNNNNNNNNNNNNNNNNNNNNNNNNNNNNNNNNNNNNNNNNNNNNNNNNNNNNNNNNNNNNNNNNNNNNNNNNNNNNNNNNNNNNNNNNNNNNNNNNNNNNNNNNNNNNNNNNNNNNNNNNNNNNNNNNNNNNNNNNNNNNNNNNNNNNNNNNNNNNNNNNNNNNNNNNNNNNNNNNNNNNNNNNNNNNNNNNNNNNNNNNNNNNNNNNNNNNNNNNNNNNNNNNNNNNNNNNNNNNNNNNNNNNNNNNNNNNNNNNNNNNNNNNNNNNNNNNNNNNNNNNNNNNNNNNNNNNNNNNNNNNNNNNNNNNNNNNNNNNNNNNNNNNNNNNNNNNNNNNNNNNNNNNNNNNNNNNNNNNNNNNNNNNNNNNNNNNNNNNNNNNNNNNNNNNNNNNNNNNNNNNNNNNNNNNNNNNNNNNNNNNNNNNNNNNNNNNNNNNNNNNNNNNNNNNNNNNNNNNNNNNNNNNNNNNNNNNNNNNNNNNNNNNNNNNNNNNNNNNNNNNNNNNNNNNNNNNNNNNNNNNNNNNNNNNNNNNNNNNNNNNNNNNNNNNNNNNNNNNNNNNNNNNNNNNNNNNNNNNNNNNNNNNNNNNNNNNNNNNNNNNNNNNNNNNNNNNNNNNNNNNNNNNNNNNNNNNNNNNNNNNNNNNNNNNNNNNNNNNNNNNNNNNNNNNNNNNNNNNNNNNNNNNNNNNNNNNNNNNNNNNNNNNNNNNNNNNNNNNNNNNNNNNNNNNNNNNNNNNNNNNNNNNNNNNNNNNNNNNNNNNNNNNNNNNNNNNNNNNNNNNNNNNNNNNNNNNNNNNNNNNNNNNNNNNNNNNNNNNNNNNNNNNNNNNNNNNNNNNNNNNNNNNNNNNNNNNNNNNNNNNNNNNNNNNNNNNNNNNNNNNNNNNNNNNNNNNNNNNNNNNNNNNNNNNNNNNNNNNNNNNNNNNNNNNNNNNNNNNNNNNNNNNNNNNNNNNNNNNNNNNNNNNNNNNNNNNNNNNNNNNNNNNNNNNNNNNNNNNNNNNNNNNNNNNNNNNNNNNNNNNNNNNNNNNNNNNNNNNNNNNNNNNNNNNNNNNNNNNNNNNNNNNNNNNNNNNNNNNNNNNNNNNNNNNNNNNNNNNNNNNNNNNNNNNNNNNNNNNNNNNNNNNNNNNNNNNNNNNNNNNNNNNNNNNNNNNNNNNNNNNNNNNNNNNNNNNNNNNNNNNNNNNNNNNNNNNNNNNNNNNNNNNNNNNNNNNNNNNNNNNNNNNNNNNNNNNNNNNNNNNNNNNNNNNNNNNNNNNNNNNNNNNNNNNNNNNNNNNNNNNNNNNNNNNNNNNNNNNNNNNNNNNNNNNNNNNNNNNNNNNNNNNNNNNNNNNNNNNNNNNNNNNNNNNNNNNNNNNNNNNNNNNNNNNNNNNNNNNNNNNNNNNNNNNNNNNNNNNNNNNNNNNNNNNNNNNNNNNNNNNNNNNNNNNNNNNNNNNNNNNNNNNNNNNNNNNNNNNNNNNNNNNNNNNNNNNNNNNNNNNNNNNNNNNNNNNNNNNNNNNNNNNNNNNNNNNNNNNNNNNNNNNNNNNNNNNNNNNNNNNNNNNNNNNNNNNNNNNNNNNNNNNNNNNNNNNNNNNNNNNNNNNNNNNNNNNNNNNNNNNNNNNNNNNNNNNNNNNNNNNNNNNNNNNNNNNNNNNNNNNNNNNNNNNNNNNNNNNNNNNNNNNNNNNNNNNNNNNNNNNNNNNNNNNNNNNNNNNNNNNNNNNNNNNNNNNNNNNNNNNNNNNNNNNNNNNNNNNNNNNNNNNNNNNNNNNNNNNNNNNNNNNNNNNNNNNNNNNNNNNNNNNNNNNNNNNNNNNNNNNNNNNNNNNNNNNNNNNNNNNNNNNNNNNNNNNNNNNNACCUCGCCCCGGCCUCGCUUCGUCCGCCUCGACGCACCGUCCUGGCCACCCCCCCUUGCUCGCCGCCGUAUGGGCAGCUCCUGCUGGCCCGCGUCGCCGGUGGCGCCCUGCUGCUCCCCCGUCGACGUUUCCCCUCCAGUGGCCGCCCGGCCUUGCCCCGGUCCUCCUCGCCCCGGCGGUUUGGGCGAGUGCCCAGUCGGGCUCGCACCCGCACCCGCAACCGCACCGCCCUGUGCCCGCUAAGGCCCCUGCUACCCCGGCCUGACCUCGCCCCUUCCCCCCGUCGGUGCCGUGCCCGCCGGUGCCCUUCUGGGUGCCGCGGCGCUGGCUCCUGGGCUGCACAGCCCCAGGCCUUGUGCCACUGACCAGGGGGCCCCAUGCCCCUGUUAAAAAAAACGAACGAAAUUGAAAAAUAGAAAUAAUUAUUUAAUUAAUUAGUAAUUUGAUUAAUUAAUUAAUUUGCUUAGUUAACUACCUAAUUAACUUUGAUUAAUUAGCCUAAUGAACAUAUUUAGUCUAAUUAAACCUGCUUAGUUAAACUAGUCUAUGACGAUGGGCCCCAUUGCCCUGUUUGACCAGUCAACGUUGACCCAGUCAACAGCUGACUAGACAGUUGACUUUGACUCUGACCCCACCUGUCAUACACUAUGGCUGGCACUGCACUUUGUGACAAUAGUUUUACUGACUAAAUUUUGGAGUUAAAUAAAUCAAUAUAAUCAUAUAAAACUUUGGAAAUUCAUAUAAAAUAAUCCGUAACUCGGAUGAAAAUACUGUCUACAUGAAAGUUGCUCAGAACGACGAGACGAAUCCGGUUACGCAGCCCGUUCGUCCGCCACACACCCCUAGCAUACCGAACAUGCAACUUUCCCCCUCCGGUUCACCGGUCCGAAAACGCGGAACACCGGGAAUACUUUCCCGGAUGUUUUCCCCCUUCGUCGGUAUCACCUACUACCGCGUUAGGGCACACCGAACACCGCGUAUUGCCUUGAUAUAUUUUGUGGUGCUUUGUCUGCUCUGUAUUCAUUAUUUCUUCCCCCUCUUCUCUCCGGUAGACUACGAGACCGACGCUGCUGCUGACCAGUUCGACUACGGAGUUGACGACCCCUCCUUCUUGCCAGAGCAAUCAGGCAAGCCCCCCCUUGAUCACCAGAUAUCGCCUAUUCUUAUCUAUACUGCUUGCAUUAGAGUAGUGUAGCAUGUUACUGUUUCCGUUAAUCCUAUUCUGAUGCAUAGCCUGACAUUGUCGCUACAUCUAUUGAUACCUUACCUGCAAUCCUAAAUGCUUAGUAUAGGAUGCUAGUUUAUCAUCAUUGGCCCUACAUUCUUGUCAGUCUGCCUUGCUAUACUAUCGGGCCGUGAUCACUUGGGAGGUGAUCACGGGUAUUUACUAUACAUACAUACAUACUAUACAGAUGGUGACUAAAGUCGGGUCAGCUCGAAGAGUACCCGCAAGUGAUUCUGACGAGGGGGCUGAAAGGACAGGUGGCUCCAUCCCGGUAGAGGUGGGCCUGGGUUCCCGAUGGCCCUCGACUGUUACUUUGUGGCGGAGCGACAGGGCAGGUUGAGACCGCCUAGGAGAGAGGUGGGCCUGGCCCUGUUCGGCGUUCGCAGACACUUAACACGCUUAACGAGAUCUUGGUAUUUGAUCUGAGUCUGGCUACGAGCCUAUACGCACUAACCAUCUACGUGGGAGUAGUUAUGGGUAUCCCUACGUCGUGGUAUCAGCCGAAGCACUUCAGACGUCAGCGACGGAGCGGCGCGCGCCGAAUUGGACUGGAACGCCACUAGGCUAGGUCUGCUUUCGGCCGCGUACGCAACGUGCAGGUGUGCUAUGGGCGAUGGGCCCAGACCCCUGUGCGCUUAGGUUUAGACCGGCGUGCUGGCCUCUCUGUUGAGCCUAGGUGGGGCUGCGACGUGUUGAUCUUCCGAGGCCGGGCAUGACCCAGGAAAGUGUGUCCGGCCAAAUGGGAUCGAGCGUGUUGGGUUAUGUGGUGCACCCCUGCAGGGAAGUUAAUCUAUUCGAAUAGCCGUGAUCUUCGGUAACAGGACGACUUGGAGUUGUACCUUGACCUUAUGACAACUAGAACCGGAUACUUAAUAAAACACACCCUUCCAAGUGCCAGAUACAACCGGUGGUCGCUCUACCUCAGGGAUAUGAGGAGGGGAUCGCCGGGUAGGAUUAUGCUAUGAGAUGUUACCUGGAGAUGCUACUUGGAGGACUUCGACCUACCCUCUUCUGCCUGUUGCAAGACGAAGGUGACCAGAAGUGUAGUCUUCAAUAAGACUAGCUAUCCCCCUCUUAUUCUGGCAUUCUGUAGUUCAGUCCACUGAUAUGGCCCUUUACACAUAUACCCAUGCAUAUGUAGUGUAGUUCCUUGCUUGCGAGUACUUUGGAUGAGUACUCACGGUUGCUUUCUCCCCCCUUUUUUCCCCUUUUCCUUCCUUUCUGGUUGUCACAACCAGAUGCUGGAAUCCAGGAGCCAGACGCCACCGUCGACGACGACCCCUACUACACUGGAGGUGCCUACUACUACGUGCUGCCCGCUGAUGACGACCUGGAGUAGUUUAGGGGGAUCCCAGGCAGGAGGCCUGCGCCUCUUUCGAUCUGUAUCCCUGUUUGUGCUAGCCUUCUUAAGGCAAACUUGUUUAACUUAUGUCUGUACUCAGAUAUUGUUGCUUCCGCUGACUCGUCUAUGAUCGAGCACUUGUAUUCGAGCCCUCGAGGCCCCUGGCUUGUAUUAUGAUGCUUGUAUGACUUAUUUAUGUUUUAGAGUUGUGUUGUGAUAUCUUCCCGUGAGUCCCUGAUCUUAAUCGUACACAUUUGCAUGCAUGAUUAGUGUACGAUUGAAUCGGGGGCGUCACACCUGCUUAAUCAGAUGUGGAGUUCUCCAGACGCAUUAUUGGACCUGCCGAAGAGUGUCUCCGAUGCAAUGCAGUUUUUCCAAGCGCAAGAAGGACAUGCAACGGAAAAGCUUUUCUGGUCGCAGUUCAGCAUGCCAAAGCGUCCACUGUUGCUGAACGAAUAGAUGGCCCUGUGGGCCGAGCUCCACAAGCUAUCUGGGUCCGCCAUGAAGGACGUCAUAAUCCGGCUGUGGCCGACUGGGCCAAUUCCGAAUAGUUAUUUAGGUUUGGUGUGGCGACUUGUUGAUGUGGUGCCGCGUAUCGAUGCUGUUAAGCGGUCAACAUGCAUAGAAGGUGUAUGGAUGGCCCUUGCCCAUGUCAAGACAUACUGGCUGAAGAUGAAGGCCACUGAUAUUGCGGCGCAAAGUCCACCCGAAGGCAAGGACCAUGACAUGCCGAAACAUUAUUUUGAAGAUGUCCUAGAGGGUGCCUGCUUGAUAGAGGGUCAGUCCUCGAAAGAUAUUAUGUUCAAGUGAAGUGUACUGGAAUUGUAAAAAUAAUGUUAUGAUAUAUUUAAGGCUAUGUUUUUAUGCUUUUGCCUAAAAAAAUUGGUGCCUCAUGUGCGGACGUUUUUAUAUAAUCUGAAACUUUGCCAGUCAUCGGCUUCUGCCCCCUCACGUAUAACGCGGGGGUGUUCGGAAAAGCACUUGAUCACUCUUGACCCAAUGUCUUGGUCCAUUAAGGAGGUGUCAAUGCGGCGAACCAGGCAGUCGGACUAUGGGGCUUUAACACUUUCACUUAGCCAUAGGAGUUUGAUGGUGGGUCUACGAUAUAGACCCAGGUAUGUACGUAGUUAUCCGAAUAUGGUGUGUUUGACAUACGUGACCGGAAGAACGGUCCUUCGUGUAAUACGGAAGGAAUUGCGAAGAUUCCGAUGAGUCAUCGAGUGGUUGACCAGCUCUCGCCGUAGUCAGUUUUCGGCUUUCUCUACUAAGGUGCUCAUCUGGACGAACCAAGACACAAUCACAGUAGUUCUCCCUUUACUACCUUAGCCCAAUAGAGCGGAACGUAAGGUAGCAAGCACAGGAGCCGGGCAACCCAACUAUUGACCAAUGACAUGAUUCGGAGCUGAUGCAUAUAAGGCUAAACUCGCGACAUCAAACAAAUUCCUAUAGGUGUUUGGACUUUUCAAAGUAUACCGGGCCGAAUACAGCCCCUGGUAAUGGACCCUGGUGUCAAGGCACGUGCGGCAAUCUGAUAUGGGGAGAGAACACAGGUGGUGGGAGAAUAAAACUCCAAACAUGAUAUGGACCAAGCUGCUUCUAUAAUAUCCCUUUAUAGUAGCGAGCCGUAUACUUACAGAUAAUGCCGAUAACUUCCUAGGACAUUGUACAUGCCAGAAAAGUAUAAGACAAAAAGAGAUAAAAAGGUUUACAUAUGGUCUUAAUAUAAAAAGAAACCUUAGUGCGGGGCCCUGCUGCACGUGUGCGCCGUUUUCUCCUUUGUGAUGUGUCCUUGAAGGGGGUAGUGUGAUGGCCAUCUGUAAAAAAAACCCUGGAAAAGAAAACCCAAUGUGGUUGUAAAUAGAGCUGGUUCAUUUAAUGAACCUUGAAAGAUAACCGUAGAGUACGAAUAGGGUCGAGCCGAACUAUGGACUAUUUGUGUGCAGUGUGCCCCCAAUGCUGCCCAAGGGAUUUUAAGGAUGUACUUGUGUAUACGAGGUACGUAUGCUAUCGCCUUAUGGGGCAGUCGAUGGGGGCGUAACUACUAAUCGAGCUCAGGUUUGUCUAAGCUGCCGCACUGAGGCAUACUCCGGACACGUUUAGCUGUGUCUGUGGUAUUAAUGACCGCUGAUCAGUUUGGCUUGAAUAGGCCGUUUUGGGCUUUGGCUGCUAAGGCCGCAGUGUCUUUCUCCGUAUGGAGAGAGCACUCCAUAUUUCCACUGACCGUAAUGACGCCACAUGGUCCGGGCAUUUUGAGCUUUAAAUAGGCAUAAUGCGGGACUGCAUUAAAGCUGGCGAAGGCCAUUCUUCUGAGUAGUGCAUGAUAGCCACUUCAGAAUGGAGCUAUGUCGAAGAUUAGCUCUCCGCUUCGAAAAUUAUUGGGAGAGCCGAAUAUGACUUCCAAUGUUAAAGAGCCCGUGCAGCGGGCUUCUACGCCUGGUAUAACUCCUUUAAAGGUCGUGCUGCUUGGCUUGAUUCUUGACGGGUCUACCCCCAUCUUGCAAACAGUGUCAUGAUAUAUCAGAUUUAGGCUCCUGCCGCCGUCCAUGAGGACUCGAGUGAGAUGGUAUCUAUCGAUUAUUGGGUCGAGCACUAGGGCAGCCGAACCCCCAUGACGGAUACUAGUCGGGUGAUCCCUAAGAUCAAAGGUGAUCGGACAGGCCACCCAUGGGUUGAGUUUGGGGGUAACAGGCUCAAUGUUAUAGAUGUAUCAGAGUGCACGUUUGCGCUUCCUCUUUGGGAUAUGAGUGACAUAGAUCAUGUUCAGUGUUUUGAUCUUCGGGGGAAAUUUCUUCUGUCCCCCUGUGUUCGGCUAGCGAGAUUCAUCCUCGUCUUCGCUCUGAGGUCCCUUCCCCUUGUGUUCGGCGGUGUGCUUGCCGGACUGCUUGAAGACCCAACAACUGUGGUUGGUAUGGUUCGCGGGUUUAGCGGGGGUGCCAUGGAUCUGGCAGUUCCUGUCUAAUAUUUUGUCUAGGUUGGAUGGACCAUCUUUGUUUCCUUUAAAUGGCUUCUUCCGCUGACCGAGUUUGGAGCCACUGAAUCCGGCAUUUACUGUUGUAUCAUCUGGGCUUCCCUCAUUGUUUCGACGUUUGUUUUUGUUACGUCGUGGCUUUCCAUUACCGUCCCUGACCUCGGAUGUGCUAGGUUCACUGGUGCUGCUACGGGCUAACCAGCUAUCCUUGCCCGCGCAAAAACGGGUCAUGAGUGUAGUAAGGGUUGUCAUUGUCCUUGGUUUUUCCUGGCCGAGGUGUCUAGCUAGCCAUUUGUCCCGGACAUUAUGGUUGAAGGCCGCUAAGGCUUCGGCAUCUGGGCAAUCAAUGAUUUGGUUCUUCUUAAUGAGAAAACGGUUCCAAAGCUUACGGGCUGAUUCCCCGGGUUGUUGGAUUAUGUGACUUAAAUCGUCAGCAUCCGGGGGCCAGACAUAAGUCGCUUGAAAAUUGGCACGAAAAGCAUCCUCAAGUUCUUCCCAACUUCCAAUGGAAUUUUCUAGGAGGCUUUUCAGUCAGUGCCGAGCUGGUCCUUUCAGCUUGAGGGGUAAGUAUUUGAUGGCAUGGAGAUCAUCUCCGCGAGCCAUGUGGAUGUGAAGAAUAAAGUCUUCUAUCCAGACCAUCGGAUCCGUCAUUCCAUCAUAUGCCUCGAUGUUUACUGGUUUGAACCCUUCUGGAAAUUCGUGAUCCAGCACCUCAUCGGUGAAGCACAGGGGGUGCGCGGCACCCUUGUAUUUGACUGUGAUGUGGCGUGGGUUCGAUGAUUGUGAUGUUCGGUAUCGGCUCCGAACUGGUAUAUGACCGACAUAUUUGGCUUGAUAGCCACAAUCCCGCGUGGGGGCACGGUCCCUAGAUCCGUAGAUCAUGUUUCUGGUCCUGAGCCGCAACCUCCCUUCCUUUACGGGGAGGGUGUGCGGGCUUGUGUACGGCAUUGCUAGCCACUCUGUCUCGUCCACGAGGUGGUCGGUCCGGCUUGUCGGCCAUAUUGUUUUUCGGUGGUAUAGGUGCAAUAGCCUCGUUGUCGAAUUCGGGCAGCAGUUUACGCUUAGCAUAGCCCCUUGUUUGGCGAUUACAACAAUAUUUUUCCUCAGCGUCUAGCACUUCGUUCCAUCUAUCAUUGAGCGUAUCCUGUGUGGCUUUAAGCCGCUGCUUCUGCUUCUUCAGGCUCCUUGUAGUGGCGGUAAGACUUUGAUGGAGGCAUUCUUGUUCUGAGGGUUCUUCUAGGACGACGAAUUCGUCGUUGCCCAAGCUAAUCUCCUCUUCGGAGACAGGUUGAUAAUUGCUAUCUUCGGCAUCGCUGUGGUCAGACAACAUCGUCGGGCUAUGCUCGCCGUCCUUUCGCAUGUCCCGUUCCAACGCUAGGUCUGCGGGGUCCUCAGCUUGGUCCGGAUUAUCACCUUCGUCCGUGACAAUGUUGCUGUUUUUCCCUUUGUCGGAUCGAGGUUAGCGCUUCUGACACUGACGCUUGGGAGGUUCAUCGACAAGUAUAUCAUUAUCACCAUCGGCCUACUUCUCUUUAAGUGUGUCCACCAUGUAUAUAUCGUAUGAGGAUGUAGCCAUCCACCGCCCUAUGGGUGGUGGUUUUUGUGCCUGCUCCUCUCUGGCAUCGUCGUCCAUACCAUCGAUGUCUUCAGAGCCGUAAUCGAGCGUGUCGGUUAAGUCUUCGAUAGUGGAAUGAAGUGGGCGGCGGGUGGGAAGCGAAAUUCUCUGUCAUCAGCUUCCCAUUCAAACCGGAUAUAGUUCGGCUGUGAGUCCCCUAACAAGGAGAGUGCUUUUAACAAAUCUAGCACAUAGCCUAAAGGUGAGUGCCGGAAGAUGUCCGCGGAGCUGAACUCGAUGACCGGCGCCUGAUAAGGUUCGAUGGGCGUGGAUGUACGCGGUUUAGAACUUAUGACCCGAGAUGGAUCCGAGGUUCCGAAGACACAGGCCCCGCUCAAGGCGGGAUCUGUGUGUGGUUCCAACACCGCUGAGUCUAUGGCUUUCGUGGCAGGGUUGAGCAUCCCGUCCUCGGAUGACGCAAUCUGCUCCAGAUCUAGGGCCAGAGCGAUUAUAGGUGCUAUCUCCUGAGCGCGGUCCAAUGACAGAUUUAGGUCAUGUUCAUCGUGAUGACGGGGAGCAACCGUCAUGGGCUCGAAUCCGUCGAAGAUCAAGUCUCCGUGAACAUCGUCCAUGUAAUUCAAGCUUCGAAAUUUGACCCAAUGGCCAGGGGUGUAGCUUUCGAUCUUCUCUAGAUGUCCAAGUGAGUUGGCCUACAGUACGAAGCCGCCGAAUACACAGAUCUGUCCGGGGAGGAAAACCUCCCCCUGGACUGCAUUGUUGUAGAUGAUUGACAGAGCCAUCAAACCUUUUGGCGACGAUGCAGCGGAACUCUCAAUGAAAGCACCAAUGUCGGUGUCAAAAUUGGCGGAUCUCGGGUAGGGGGUCCCGAACUGUGCGUCUAAGGCUAAUGGUAACGGGAGGCGGGGGACACAAUAUUUACCUAGGUUCGGGCCCUCUCUAUGGAGGUAAUACCCUACUUCCUACUUAAUUGAUCUUGAUGAAUAUGAGUAUUACAAGAGUUGAUCUACCAAGAGAUCGUAAUGGCUAAAACCCUAGAAGUCUAUCCUGUAUGAUGACGAUGUUCCCCAAUGGAAAAAACCCUCUGGUUUAUAUAGACACCGAAGGGGACUAGGGUUGUACUAAGUCGGUUAUAGAGAAAGGAAUCUACAUAUCAGAAUCACCAUGCUUGCUAUCCACGCAAAGGAGAGUCCCAUCCGAACACGGGAAGAAGACUUCUGUCUUGUCUCUUCGUAGCCCAACAGUCUGGCCCAUGUUAAUAGUCCAGCCAUCCGAGGACCCCUUAAUCCAGGACUCCCUCAGUGGGACCAAAGUGUUACGAAAACGAAACUGGGAGUUUGCAAUGUAGACUCGGUGGGACAUAUUUGCUCAUUUCGGUGAGAUCGAAAUGUUACAAAGGGGAAACAAAGAGUUUGCAAUCCCAUCUUAGUGAGACCGAGAUCCCUAUCGAUGUGACCAAAAUAACUAGGGUUUGUGGCAGUGGCUAUGUCAAGUGAAACUCGGUGGCAACGGAUAGAUAAAAUUGGUGGGACGAGUUUGACAUUUAGGUUUAGGACAUAUGUGGAUAUGAGAAAGUGGUUGAGGGUUUUGGAGCAUAUCACUAAGCAUUUUGAGCAAGUAACUCAUUAAGCAACACCUCAUCCCCUUUUAAUAGUAUUGGCUUUCUUAUGGACUCAAUGUGAUCUUGGAUCACUAAAAUGAAAAUGUAGAGUCUUGAGCUUGUUGCCAAUAUAUGUCCUUUAUAUUUUGAGGGGUCCACAUCUCUAGUCCAUGCCAUGCCAAACAUUGAACUUUCUGAAAUGAUUAUCUUGAAAUAGCAUUAGUUCAAUGAACUAUAUGUUGUUAAGAAUUACCAAAACCACCCAGGGAUUAGUUGCACUUUCAAUCUCCCCAUUUUUGGUAAUUGAUGACAACAUUGUUGGGGAACGUAGCAGAAAUUCAAAAUUUUCCUACGUGUCACCAAGAUCUAUCUAUAGAGAAACCAGCAAUGAGGGGAAGGAGAGUGCAUCUACAUACCCUUGUAGAUCGCUAAGCGGAAGCAUUCAAGAGAACGGGGUUGAAGAAGUCGUACUCGUCGUGAUCCAAAUCACCGGAGAUCCUAGUGCCUAAUGGAUGGCACCUUCGUGUUCAACACACGUACAGCCCGGUGAUGUCUCCCAUGCCUUGAUCCAGCAAGGAGAGAGGGAGAGGUUGAGGAAGACUCCAUCCAGCAGCAGCACAACGGCGUGGUGGUGGUGGAGGAGCGUGGCAAUCCUGCAGGGCUUCGCCAAGCACCUGCGGGAGAGGAGGAGGUGUCACGGGAGGGAGGGAGGCGCCAGGGCUUCAGGUGCGGCUGCCCUCCCUCCCCUCCACUAUAUAUAGGGGCAAGGGAGAGGGGGGGGCGCAGCCUUGGCCCUUCCUCCAAGGAAGGGUGCGGCUAGGGAGGAGUCCAUCCUCCCCAAGGCACCUAGGAGGUGCCUUCCCCCUUUAGGACUCUCCCUUUCCCUUAUCUCUUGGCGCAUGAGCCUCUUGGGGCUGGUGCCCUUGGCCCAUAUAGGCCAAGGCGCACACCCCUACAGCCCAUGUGCCCCCCGGGGCAGGUGGACCCUGGUGGACCCCCGGACCCCUUUCGACACUCCCGGUACAAUACCGAUAAUGCGCGAAACUUUUCCGGCGACCAAAACAAGACUUCCCAUAUAAAAAUCUUUACCUCCAGACCAUUCCAGAACUCCUCGUGACAUCCGGGAUCUCAUCCGGGACUCCGAACAAGAUUCGGUAACCACAUACAAACUUCCUUUAUAACCCUAGCGUCAUCGAACAUUAAGUGUGUAGACCCUAUGGGUUCGGGAAUCAUGCAGACAUGACCGAGACGUUCUCCGGUCAAUAACCAACAGCGGGAUCUAGAUACCCAUGUUGGCUCCCACAUGUUCCACGAUGAUCUCAUCGGAUGAACCAUGAUGUGAAGGACUCAAUUGAUCCCGUAUACAAUUCCCUUUGUCUAGUGGUAUUGUACUUGCCCGAGAUUCGAUCGUCGGUAUGCCGAUACCUUGUUCAAUCUCGUUACCGCAAGUCUCUUUACUCGUUCCAUAACACAUCAUCCCGUGAUCAACCCCUUGGUCACAUUGUGCACAUUAUGAUGAUGUCCUACCGAGUGGGCCCAUAGAUACCUUUUCGUCAACCGGAGUGACAAAUCCCAGUCUCGAUUCGUGCCAAUCCAACAGACACUUUCGGAGAUACCUGUAGUGCACCUUUAUAGCCACCCAGUUACGUUGUGACGUUUGGUACACCCAAAGCAUUCCUACGGUAUCCGGGAGUUGCACAAUCUCAUGUCUAAGGAAAUGAUACUUGACAUUAGAAAAGCUUUAGCAUACGAACUACACGAUCUUUGUGCUAGGCUUAGGAUUGGGUCUUGUCCAUCACAUCAUUCUCCUAAUGAUGUGAUCCUGUUAUCAACGACAUCCAAUGUCCAUGGUCAGGAAACCGUCACCAUCUAUUGAUCAACGAGCUAGUCAUCUAGAGGCUUACUAGGGACAUGGUGUUGUCUAUGUACCCACACAUGUAUCUGAGUUUCCUAUCAAUACAAUUAUAGCAUGGAUAAUAAACGAUUAUCAUAAACAAGGAAAUAUAAUAAUAACUAAUUUAUUAUUGCCUCCAGGGCAUAUUUCCAACAAACAUAUAGAUCAAAGCUUCGACAAAUGAUAAUAAGAAUUGUGGUACAUUGUCACUUUGAGAAGUAUGUGAUAAGUAAGAGCCCCCCUCCUAAAUUUGUGCAUUGUUAAAAUUUGCUUUGGACUGCAAAUGCACAAUCUGUUAGGAUCAUGAGUUACUCUUCCAUGUCACAUACAUCUUGGUGGAGCGCUCAAAAUGAUAAUAAAUAAGAACAAGCACUCAUCACCAAGGCAAAGUGAAUGAUCAUACAUGAGAUAGAUAAUGUCAACAUCCAAGCAUAAGCAUAAAGAGUGAUAUGACCAAGCACAUGAUCCUACAAAGUAUCUCACACAAGCAGACAUAAUGUAUCUCAAAUAGGCAAGCAAAGCAAAUAAGUAGCAAAAAGAGACAACUCUCUCUCUCUCUCCAAAGCCUAUGAUCUAUACACUUUCUCCCCCUUUGGCAACAAGUUACCAAAAAGCUCGAAAAUGCAUAGUGAUAUGCGUCUCUCUAGGCUUGAUCCUCGGGAGGUGGUGUUGAGAUGACUCCAAGGACGAAUGCUUCUGUAGAUGUUGUUGGAGCUGGAGGGGUUGCCACUGGAGGGGCAACAGGAGCUGUAGAAGCUGUGGCUGCAGGUGCUGAAGUUGUAGCUCUAGUGUGUGUCUUUGGCACUGCUGCAGACCUCUAUGCCCUAGGCACCCUGUGGAACACCUGUGUAGUAGCUUUUCCCUUUCUCUCCUGAGCUUCUUCCUGUAGUUCUUCAACAGCUGUCUGAAUCUCAGUUACUUUCAAGUCCAGAUCAUAGAAUUUUGUCUCUAUUAUCCUCUCCAAGCUCUCCUGGUUCUGAGUCAUGGUAGCUAGUCCUUUCUCAACCCUCAGGAUUGAUUGAAUCAGAAACCCAAGCUGGUCUUGUUUGUACUUGAGAAAGACUUCUGAAGCCUCUGCUGCACUUGGCAUCUUUGCUACUUUUGCUGCCCUAGCCUUCUCCUUCUUCUCAUGAGCUGCAACUGAAGAUGGAUCAUUAGCAUCCAUGACAACUGUGUUGUCCUCAAAUUCAGGCAGCAAAGGAAGGUGUUAUUUGUCCAAAAGAUACACUCCUUGCUUCAUCUUGGAGUUGAUUAGAUCUUGGAUGUGUGGAGCAUAUCCACAAGAUCUCUUCUGGUCAGCUGGUGUCCUUUUGAUUGUCUCUACAAUCAAGCUCAUGACCUUGAAUUUCUAUGGCACAACAUCAAACAACUAUAGCAUGUUGAUGGAAUGGCCUCUGAUCAUCCUGUGAUCUCCAGAUUUGGGCAACAAAGUGUGCCUCAAGAUAGUGUUUAUAGUGGCCAAACCAGAUAGCAGAUAGUAGACAAAUCCAAACUUGUGUGUUUCCAAGGCCUCAUUUGGAAUUUCCUUAUACAUAUUGGCCAUGGUGUUGUGAUCCUUCUUCUUUUCAGCAUACACAUAUAUUUGAUGUUCUUCUUCUCCAGGGGCAUUUCUGAGCCUAGCCCACUCAUCAACAGUUGAUUGGUGCCUCUGCCCUUCUGUCAUCCACACAAUUCUUCCAUCUGGAUAGAAGUGAGUCGUUGAGUAGAAUUGCAUAAUGAGCUCAUCAUUCCAUUUGGUGAGCUUCUGACCAACAAAGUCAUCAACACCAUUAGCUUUGAAGCUUCCAUGCACUCUUGGGAAAUGAUCAGCAUUAGCAUCAAUGACUUUCCAGUCCACCCAUCUCAUAUCACUGACUAUGGGUUUCUUGUCCAGCAAUACUGUCUCAUAGAAAUCAUGUUGCUCUUUGGUGUGGAACCUAUAGUCCACUACAGUCCUCCUCUUCACAGCAUAAGGAUCAGCUUGUCUCCACUUCCUGAGACCAGCAUCCUUUCUUUCUUUCAUAUUUUCAGCCAUUGGGUGACUGUCAUUGUGGUCUGGAAUCUUGGGCUUGAGCUUUCUAAGCACUUGGGCUUCAGCUUGUUUAACAGCUUCAGGCACUGGGGCCUUGUUCUUCUCUGUAGCAGGUAUGUUUAUGGUACUUCCCUUUGGAACUUGAGAUGGAGCUUUGGGGGCUGACUUGGGCUUUGAAGGAGCUGCCCGAGACUUGAUGGCUUCCUCCAUCAGCUUCUGUGCCUUUGCAGGAGGUGCUUGAGCACCAACCUCUUCUUCCUCUUCCUCUUCCUCUUCCUCUUCACUUUCAGAAUCCUUCCUCAUUGAAGGAUUUCCAAUCACUCUAGCUGUUGUUUUUCUGACCCUUUUCUUCCCUUCAUCACCUGCUUUUGGCUCAAGUGAGAAGACCAUAGUUUCUCGAGUGGAAGUUCUGGCCUUUGGCAUGGGAACUCUCCUGGCAGGUGCCUUCUUCUGCAUUCCAGGCUUUGUUGCAGCAGUAGUUCCAUAUUCCUUUUUCAACACUUUCUUAUUAGAGCUAACUUCCUCCUCAGCAACCACAUAGUCCUCAUCCUCUGAAUCUGAGGUUCUCUUCUUCCUUGUCCUUGUUGCUGCCUUGGGCAAGUUGCUUGGAGUGCUCUUGCUGCCAUUAUCUGAACUGUUGGAGGGACUAGUGCCCUCACUCAUGUGCACUUGCUCUGCUGACUUGUUUUGGCUAUCACUCUGGUUAGAAAUUCUGUACAGCAAACUAAGAACUGUCCCUGUGAAUAGAUGUAGAUGAGGUAGAGUAGAUGAGCAUCACAAAGUGCAGAGUUUUUGCAAAAGGAAUGAGUCAAAACUUAGUUUUAGUUUUCUACAGGAAGCAUUUCGGAGCUACCGAUUUGUAAAACUCGGUGACACCGAAGCAACUUUGGAGUCUAAACAUGUGGAAUUGGUCAGACUGAGGCACGGUUUGGUGAUUUCGAGUUUGCUAGGGUUUCACAAAGUCCUGGUAUCAGUCACACCGAUUUGCAAUUUUCGGUCAGACUGAAAAUCACGUGUGCUUUGGCCUAAGCCAAAUCGGUGGAACCGAUUCCUACAACUCGGUCGGUCCGAGAUGAGUCCGGCGAAAACCUAACCCUAAAUUUUCAAUUCAAAUCUAGUCUAAUGGAGAUUGUCUAUGGAUGGAUCAAUCUCAUACAUGGAAUAGAACAUGGCAUUGACCUUGUGCUAGAAUCAAAAAUAAAAGGAGUGCACAGGGGUCAAACUCAUACCCUAGUUCGGCGAUGAGUUUGCUACGGCGACAACGAUGGUGAAGAAAUCCAUUGACAGCGGCGGAGACCAGUGGCGGGAGGUCGCUGGUCAGCCUGUGCAAAACCGAACCGAAAACCAAAAACCGAACCAAAAAAACCAAACCGAAACCAAAUGUCGGUUUUUUCAGGUUUUGGUUUCAGUUUCAGUUUCCAAUUUCAAAAACCAUAUAGCCUUCGGUUUUUUCGGUUAGAAACCGAUGGGUUUCGGUUAAACCGAAAUAACCGAAAGAUCUCCACUGUGUGUAGAUAUUAGCUGAACCAGGAGCCAACCCUCUUUUUAUAGACUUCUUCCCACCGCGUUGCUACUCCGUCCGCGAGGUGGUACUAAAAUUUGUGGCUUUGGCCGACGACCUGGGCACCUGGCGCACAUUGGGCUUGCUUGGGCCUCAAAUUAUCCAGCCCACAUUUGUCUAGCGAUCGCUUUUCUCCCAAGUUCAGGCAGCCUAUCACGAACCUAAAACAAGGAGCCUGGAGGCUAGCGCUGUGCCUGUGGUGUUUCGUGGCAUAUUUUUUCUACUUAAAAAAACCUGAAGGCUAGCGCAAGCGGUGCUCUUGCCCUAUUUUGUCCUCAAAUUUUCCUAGUACAUACAUAUCUCUCUGUCAACGCCUCAUUGGUCAUUAUAUGCCUUAAUCUAGUGCAUGUUGUACCUACAUAUAUACCACCAAAUCAGGUCUACCAUCUAAUGAUUUAAUCUACGUACAUAGUUCUCAAAAGAAUAAACUAACCUACAUGCACAGAUUGAAUCAUGUGGGGAAAAAUUACGCGUUGUUCAAAAAUUCGCGUCAACUUUGGUUAUUUUGGUUAUUACCGAAACCGAACCGAAAUUAAAUGGUUAUUACCAAAACCGAACCGUAUCUUUGUAUGAAACCGUAUAAACCGAAGUAUAAAAACUGUAUAAACUGAAAAUUGUAUAAACCGAACCGAAUCAAACCGAAAAAACAGAAUGCACAGGCUGAGUCGCUGGUGACGAGGUGAUGAUCCGGAGACUCGAGAGGCAGAUCAGGACACGCGCGGGCGACAGGGUUUUGAAGUAAUUUCCAAAAUCUGGCCCGUCAGUAUUUAUAUCCUGACACUAUCGGCAUGACCGAGUGGAACAACUUGGUGGCACCGAGAUGCAGAAUCACAAGCGGUUAUUGCAACUCGGUGAGACCGAAAGGUUCUAAUCGAUUGCACCAAUAUUGAAACUUGAUCAACCCAGCGAACUUGGUGUGAUCGAAUUGGAGGAGUCAGUCAGACCGAAAUACACAGUGAGGUUUUGGAAGUUUUAAGUCUAUGACAAAACGGAACUCCGAGUGAUCCUCACACAGAGGGUUUGAAUUUGACUUAGAUCAAACUUUGUGAUGUAGCAUGAAUAAAGUUUGAGAAGAGAAAAACAUAGAUAGCUAGAUGGAGUUCUUAGGCAUUCUUGUCCAUCCAUUUGGCAAAAAGAAGAAAUUCCAAACAGUCAAAGCAACAAAUAGAUGUCCUCGAAUGAGAGAAAGUAUGCAACCAACAUGCUCACACAAUAAAAUGGCAACUGAAAUAUGUGGCAAAGCAUGCACAAUCACUCUAGCAUCUCUCAAACAAUUGGCGAUUACUAGGUCAUCUAUAUAUGAGUAUAUUGACUUAGAAGUCAAAUGAGAACAUUUGAUCAUAUGUCAUACUCAUCGUUUAGGCACAAGUGGGGUUACCACUUUUACACAAAGCAUUGAUGUGUUCACACCAUUAGAGUUGCUUUAGCUCAAUUCUUAGAGUAAAGCUCCCCCUAGAUGUGAUAUUCCCCCUAAGAGGGAUCAACUAACCUUGGGUUUUGUCGAUGAUUACUUCAUGUAGAUAUCGAAGAUGUGGAUGCUCAUCGUUGAUGUAGAUCAUUUGAAGCAAUCCAUUGCAGUGAGUUGUACUUUCAAUACCUACAUGGGUUAGUCCCACAAGGAACAAACAAGGAUAUCCAUAGACAUAGAGUGAAGCACACACAUGAUGAUGUCCAUGAAAGCAUUAUGUUACCUUGUCCCUUGUCUUACCAACAAGAGGGUUUGUGACUCCUUGAACUAGUGCAAUAUGUGGAAGUUGUUUGCACUUGUCUUUGCAAAAAUAAAUAUGAGUGAAGUAUGUUGGCGGAGUCACCCUCAAGAACUCUCUAGUUCUUCUUCUUCGGGAUCCACAUCAUCUUGAUGGGAAUCCUUGGAGUUGUAGAUGUACUUGAUGAAGUAGAACUCGAUGUACUCUUGGGAACCCACUUGACCAAGGCCUUCGGAGCAUCUUCAAAUGCAUCAAUUUCUUCUUGAAGCUUGUCCUUGCCUUUUAGCUUGUGGUCUUGUGGUGGAAGAUCAUCUUGAGCUUGUGUCCCCUUGAAGGAAGUAGGGUCAUACUUCUCUUGUUGAGGAACAAACUUUGUCUUGGGGUAUUGAUCUUCUUCCCACUCAACUCCAUUGGCAUUGGACUUUCGUUCAAAACCAACUCCUUGAUUCUUCCGGUGCCUUCCUUGCUUGUGUACAAUUUCCUCAAAUUGCUUACUUCUGGCAAGGCUUUUGUAAACACCUUUCUCUAUAAUUCCCUUCAAUAAGCUAUUUUCUUGCUCAAGUGUUACUUGGCUAAGAGAAUCAUCAGUAGAAUCAAGAGAACUACUAAAAGCAACAAUAUUGGAUUUAGCAUGAUUAUUGUUACUACUAGAAGAAGAAUCUUUCUUGUUCUUGUUGCUAGACUUUACUUGUGGCAUGUAAGUAGACAAGAGUAAACUCUUGGCAAUGUAAGAAGAACUUUUCUUCUGAAGAUCAUCAUUGAUGGCCUUUAAGAACUCAUGCUCUUACUCAAGAUUGAGCUUUUCUAAGUGUAACUUCUCAUGAGUUUUUAAAAGUUCUCGAUGAUCUUCUAAAGUAGUUUCAUGAGCUAACUUAAGAGUGUUUAGUUCUUUAGUUAGACGCUCAAUCUUCUCCUUAUCAUUGUCAUUCGUUUUAGCAUGAUUAAUUGACAUUUCAUCAUAGUAUUCAUCACUAGAGUUGUCAACAAGUAAAUCAUCAUCACCUAGCAAGUCAUCUUCAUCACUGUUGGAAUCAACAUACUCGGGGUGUGUUACCUUGGGGCCUUUAGCCAUGAAGCAUCUCCCAAUUCCUUCAUUUGGUGAGUCAAAUAUGUCGUAGGAGUUGGUUGACACAAGUGCUAGACCGGCAACACCUUCAUCUUGAGUAUAUUCGGAGUCGGAGUGAUAACUUCUUUCGGAGUGGUCGUUGGAGUCGGAGCCGGAUACCCAUUCACCAACAUGAGCUUGAUGUCUUUGUUUUGUGUAGCUCCUUGAUGACUUGUCCUUCCUUUCUGAAUCCUUGCUUCUUCGAGAGGUUCUUCAUUCAUAACGAUCGUCUCUACUCCUUCUCUCUCUUGGAGUAAUUCUUCCCUUUUGCUUCUUCUUUUAGGUGAGUCUUCUCUUCUUUUAUAGGGAGUCGUACACUCAUUGGAGUAGUCUCCGGGUCUUCCACAAUUGUAGCAGUUUCGCUCACGACUAGAAGAUCUUUUGUCAUUGAGGACCUUGACUUGGAACUUCUUUCCUUGCUUCUACUCUUGUAGAAUUUGUUGAAAUUCUUCACCAUUAGGCUCAGUUCUUCAUUGAAGGCUUAUUUCUCACUUGAUGAUGUAGGAGCAUCACAUGAGGCUUUGUAAGUACCACUAGACUUGUUGUGAAGCUCUUCUUUGUCCUUGAGUGACAUCUCAUGAGCAACAAUUCUCCCAAUGACUUCGGUUGGCUUGAGAUCUUUUUAAUUUGGCAUCAUUUUGAUAAAUGUGCACACGGUAUCAUAUUUUGCAUCCAAGGCUCUCAAGAUCUUUUUGAUGAUGAAUUUGUCAGUCAUCUCUUCACUUCCUAAGCUGGCAAUCUCAUUUGUGAUGAGAGCAAGCCUAGAGUACAUUUCGGCGACACCUUCACCAUCCUUCAUUUUGAACUUGUCAAGUUGACUUUGAAGCACAUCCAACUUGGAUUCCUUGACGGAGUCGGUACCUUCGUGCAUAUCAAUCAAAGUAUCCCAAAUUUCCUUUGCAUUCUCAAGAUGACUGGUUUUGUUGAACUCUUUGGGGCACAAUCCAUUGAAUAGGAUAUCGCAAGCUUGAGCAUUGUAUUUCAACAUCUUCAAUUCUUCCACGGUUGCUUCACGGUUUGGUUCUCUCCCAUCAAAUAAUUCACCUUGCAAGCCAAUACACACAAUAGCCCAAACGGCGGGGUUAUGUCCAAGAAUAUGCACUUUCAUCUUAUGUUUCCAACUAGCAAAAUUAGUACCAUCAAAGUAAGGACCUCUAUGAUGUUAAUUUCCCUCGCUAGAUGCCAUACUCUCCUAGGUUGUGAAGCCAAGGCUAUGAUCACCAAAGCUAUGGAAAUCAAGGCAAAUGGAGACCAAAGCUCUAAUACCACUUGUAGGAUUGAAAGUAUGUCUAGGGGGGGGGGGGUGAUUAGACUACUUGACCAAAUAAAAACUUAACCUUUUCCCAAUUUUAGUUCUUGGCAGAUUUUAGCAACUCAACACAAGUCAAGCAAUCACAAUACAAUUCAAGCAAGCAUGCAAAGAGUAUAUGAGCAGCGGAAAGUAAAACAUGCAACUUGCAAGAAAGUAAAUGGGGGGGAGUUUGUGUUGGUAAUAUGCCCUAGAGGUAAUAAUAAAUUAGUUAUUAUUAUUAUUAUAUUUCCUUGUUCAUGAUAAUCGUUUAUUAUCCAUGCUAUAAUUGUAUUGAUAAACUCAGAUACAUGUGUGGGUACAUAGACAACACCAUGUCCCUAGUAAGCCUCUAGUUGACUAGCUCGUUGAUCAAUAGAUGGUUACGGUUUCCUGACCAUGGACAUUGGAUGUCGUUGAUAACGGGAUCACAUCAUUAGGAGAAUGAUGUGAUGGACAAGACCCAAUCCUAAGCCUAGCACAAAGAUCGUGUAGUUCGUAUGCUAAAGCUUUUCUAAUGUCAAGUAUCAUUUCCUUAGACCAUGAGAUUGUGCAACUCCCGGAUACCGUAGGAAUGCUUUGGGUGUACCAAACAUCACAACGUAACUGGGUGGCUAUAAAGGUGCACUACGGGUAUCUCCGAAAGUGUCUGUUGGGUUGGCACGAAUCGAGACUGGGAUUUGUCACUCCGUGUAACGGAGAGGUAUCUCUAGGCCCACUCAGCAGGACAUCAUCAUAAUGUGCACAAUGUGACCAAGGGGUUGAUCACGGGAUGAUGUGUUAUGGAACGAGUAAAGAGACUUGCCGGUAACGAGAUUGAACAAGGUAUCGGCAUACGGACGAUCGAAUCUCGGGCAAGUACAAUACCGUUAGACAAAGGGAAUUGUAUACGGGAUUGAUUGAAUCCUUGAAAUCGUGGUUCAUCUGAUGAGAUCAUCGUGGAACAUGUGGGAGCCAACAUGGGUAUCCAGAUCCCGCUGUUGGUUAUUGGCCGGAGAACGUCUCGGUCAUGUCGGCAUGGUUCCCGAACCCGUAGGGUCUACACACUUAAGGUUCGAUGAUGCUAGGGUUAUAGGGAAUAGAUAUACGUGGUUACUGAAUGUUGUUCGGAGUCCCAUAUGAGAUCCCGGAUGUCACGAGGAGUUCCGGAAUGGUCCGGAGGUAAAGAUUUAUAUAUGGGAAGUCCUGUUUUGGUCGCCGGAAAAGUUUCGGGUGCUAUCGGUAACGUACCGGGACCACCGGGAGGGUCCCGGGGGUCCACCAAGUGGGGCCACCGGCCCCAGAGGGCUGCAUGGGCCAAGUGUGGGAGGGGACCAGCCCCAGGUGGGCUGGGGCGCCCCCCCCCCCCACAAGGGCCCAAGGCGCCUAGGGUUUGGGGAGGGGGCGCACCCACCUUACUUGGGGGGCAAGUUUCCCCCUCUCCCCCCUUGGCCACACCCUAGAUGGGAUCUAGGGGCUGCCACACCCCUUGGGGUAGGAACCCUAGAGGGGGUGCAGCCCCCUCCCUCUCCCCUAUAUAUACUUGAGGUUUUGGGGCUGCCAUACACAAGAGUUUCCACCUCUCCCUAGCGCAGCCCUACCUCUCUUUCUCCUCAUAUCUCGCGGUGCUUGGUGAAGCCCUGCUGGAUCACCACACUCCUCCAUCACCACCACGCCAUUGUGCUGCUGCUGGAUGGAGUCUUCCCCAACCUCUCCCUCUCUCCUUGCUGGAUCAAGGCAUGGGAGACGUCACCGGGCUGCACGUGUGUUGAACACGGAGGUGCCGUCCGUUCGGCACGGGGAUCUCCGGUGAUUUGGAUCACGAUGAGUAUGACUCCUUCAACCCCGUUCUCUUGAACGCUUCCGCUUAGCAAUCUACAAGGGUAUUUAGAUGCACUCUCCUUCUCUCUCAUUGCUAGUCUCUCCAUAGAUAGAUCUUGGUGACUCGUAGGAAAAUUUUGAAUUUCUGCUACGUUCCCCAACAGUGGCAUCAUGAGCUAGGUCUAUUGCAUAGAUUCUAUGCACGAGUAGAACACAAGUUGUUGUGGGCGUUGAUUUUGUUCAAUAUGCUUGCCGUUACUAGUCCAAUCUUGUUUCGACGGUAUUGUGGGAUGAACCGGCCCGGACCGACCUUACACGUACACUUACGUGAGACAGGUUCCACCGAUUGACAUGCACUUGUUGCAUAAGCUGGCUAGCGGGUGCCAGUCUCUCCCACUUUAGUCGGUUCGGAUUCGAUGAAAAGCGUCCUUAUGAAGGGUAAAUAGCAAUUGGCAUAUCACGUUGUGGCUUUUUGCGUAGGUAAGAAACGUUCUUGCUAGAAACCCAUAGCAGCCACGUAAAACAUGCAAACAACAAUUAGAGGACGUCUAACUUGUUUUAGCAGGGUAUGCUAUGUGAUGUGAUAUGGAUAAGAAGAAUGUGAUGAAUGAUAUGUGAUGUAUGAGAUUGGUCAUGUUCUUGUAAUAGGAAUCACGACUUGCAUGUCGAUGAGUAUGACAACCGGCAUGAACCAUAGGAGUUGUCUUAAUUUAUUGUAUGACCUGCGUGUCAUUGAACAACGCCAUGUAAUUACUUUACUUUAUUGCUAACCGGUAGCCAUAGUAGUAGAAGUAAUAAGUUGGCAAGACAACUUCAUGGAGACACGAUGAUGGAGAUCAUGGUGUCAUGCCGGUGACGAUGAUGAUCAUGGAGCCCCGAAGAUGGAGAUCAAAAGGAGCAAAAUGAUAUUGGCCAUAUCAUGUCACUAUUUGAUUGCAUGUGAUGUUUAUCAUGUUUAUGCAUCUUAUUUGCUUAGAACGACAGUAGUAAAUAAGAUGAUCCCUCAUUAAAAUUUCAAGAAAGUGUUCCCCCUAACUGUGCACUGUUGCGAAAGUUCGUUGUUUCGAAGCACCACGUGAUGAUCGGGUGUGAUAGAUUCUAACGUUCACAUACAACGGGUGUAAGCCAGAUUUACACACGCGAAACACUUGGGUUGACUUGACGAGCCUAGCAUGUACAGACAUGGCCUCGGAACAUAAGAGACCGAAAGGUCGAGCAUGAGUCGUAUGGUAGAUACGAUCAACAUGAAGAUGUUCACCGAUGAUGACUAGUCCGUCUCACGUGAUGAUCAGACACGGCCUAGUUGACUCAGAUCAUGUAAUCACUUAGAUGACUAGAGGGAUGUCUAUCUGAGUGGGAGUUCAUAAGAUGAACUUAAUUAUCCUGAACAUAGUCAAAAACCCUUUGCAAAUUAUGUCAUAGCUCGCGCUUUAGUUCUAUUGUUUUAGAUAUGUUCCUAGAGAAAAUAUAGUUGAAAGUUGACAGUAGCAAUUAUGCAGACAGUAGAAGGCUUAUGUCCUUAAUGCACUGCUCGGUGUGCUGGACCUCGAACGUGGUCUGUGGAUGAUGCGAACAUCUGACAUACACGUUUUGAUGACUACAUGAUAGUUCGGUAAUGUUAAAUGGUUUAGAAUUGAGGCACAUAAGACAUUUUUGAAAUGUCGCAGAACAUAUGAGAUGUUCCAAGAGCUGAAAUUGGGAUUUCAGGCUCGUGCCCACGUCAAGAGGUAUGAGACCUCUGACGAGUUUUCUAGCCUACAAACUAAGGGAGAAGAUCUCAAUCGUUGAGCUUGUAUUCAGAUUGUCUGGGUACAACAAUCACUUGAAUCGAGUGGGAGUUAAUCUUCCAGAUGAGAUAGUGAUGUUUCUCCAAAGACAUUGCCACCAAGCUACUAGAGCUUCAUGAUGAACUAUAACAUAACAGGGAUAGAUAUGAUGAUCCUUGAGCUAUUCGCGAUGUUUGACACCACAAAUGUAGAAAUCAAGAAGGAGCAUCAAUUGUUGAUGGUUAGUGAAACCACUAGUUUCAAGAAGGGCGAGGGCAAGAAGGGGUACUUCAUGAAAUGGCAAAUCAGUUGCUGGUCCAGUGAAGAAACCCAAGGUUGAACCCAAACCCGAGACUAAGUGCUUCUGUAAUGAGAGGAAUGGACACUGAAGUAGAACCACCCUAGAUACUUAGUAGAUAAGAAGGCAGGCAAGGUCGACAGAAGCAUAUUGGAUAUACAUUGAAUCAAAUGUGUACUUUACUAGUACUCCUAGUAGCACUAGGGUAUUGAGAUACCGGUUCGAUUGCUAAGUGUUAGUAACUCGAAGUAAAAGGCUACGGAAUAAAUGGAGACUAGCUAAAGGCGAGGUUACGAUAUGUGUUGGAAGUAUUUCCAAGGUUGAUAUGAUCAAACAUCGCACGCUCCGUCUACCAUCGAGAUUGGUGUCAAACCUAAAUAAACUAUUAUUUGGUGUUUGCAUUGAGCAUAGACAUGAUUGGAUUAUGUCUAUCGCAAUACGGUUAUUCAUGUAAGGAGAAUAAUGGUUACUCUAUUUAUUUGAAUAAUACCUUCAAUGGUCUUGCACCUAAAAGAAUGGUUCAUUGAAUCUCGAUCGUAGUGAUAAACAUUUUCAUGCCAAAAGAUAUAAGAUAGUAAUGAUAGUACCACCUACUUGUGGCACUGCCAUGUAAGUCAUAUUGGUAUAAAACGCAUGAAGAAGCUCCAUGUUGAUGGAUCUUUGGACUCACUCAUUUUGAAAAGUUCGAGACAUGCGAACCAUGUCUAUUGGUGUAUAUGCAUGAAGAAACUCCAUGCAAAUGGACCAUUUGGACUCACUUGAUUUUGAAUCACUUGAGACAUGAAAAUCAUACCACAUGGGCAAGAUGACUGAAAGCCUCGUUUUCAGUAAGAUGGAACAAGAAAGCAACUUGUUGGAAGUAAUACAUUUUGAUGUGUGCAGUCCAAUGAGUGCUGAGGCACGCAGUGGAUAUCAUUAUGUUCUUACUUAACAGAUGAUUUGAGCAGAUGUUGAGUAUAUUUAGUUGAUGAAACACAAGUCUGAAUUAUUGAAAGGUUCAAGUAAUUUCAGAGUGAAGUUGAAGAUCAUCGUGACAAGAGGAUAAAAUGUCUAUGAUAUGAUCAUAGAGAUGAGUAUCUGAGUUACGAGCUUUGGCACGCAAUUAAGACAUUGUGGAAAUUGUUUCACAAUUAAUACCGCCUGGAACACCAUAGUGUGAUGGUGUGUCCGAACAUCAUAGUUGCACCCUAUUGGAUAUGGUGCGUACCAUGAUGUCUCUUAUCGAAUUACCACUAUCGUUCAUGGGUUAGGCAUUAGAGACAACCACAUUCACUUUAAUAGGGCACCACAUAAUUCUGUUGAGAUGACACCGCAUGAACUAUGGUUUAGAGAAACCUAAGCUGUCAUUUCUUGAAAUUUUGGGGUUGCGACACUUAUAUGAAAAAGUUUCAUCCUGAUGAGCUCGAACCCAAAGUGGAUAAAUACAUCUUCAUAGGGCACCCAAAACAGUUGGGUAUACCUCCUAUUUAAGAUCCAGAAGCAAAAGAAUUGUUUCUAGAAACGGGUCCUUUCUCGAGGAAAAGUUUCUCUCGAAAGAAUUGAGUGGGAGGAUGGUGGAGACUUGAUGAGGUUGUUGAACCAUCACUUCAACUAGUGUGUACCAGGGCACAGGAAGUUGUUCCUGUGGCACCUACACCAAUUGAAGUAGAAGCUUAUGAUAGAGAUCAUGAAACUUCGGAUCAAGUCACUACCAAACCUCGUGGGUCGACAAGGAUGCGUACUACUUCAGAGUGGUACGUAAUCCUGUCUUAGAGGUCAUGUUGCUAGACAACAAUGAACCUACGAGCUAUGGAGAAGCGAUGGUGGGCCCGGAUUCCGACAAAUGGCUCGAGGCCAUAAAAUCCGAGAGAGGAUCCAUGUAUGAGAACAAAGUGUGGACUUUGGAAAAACUGCUUGAUGGUCGUAAGGCUAUUGGGUACAGAUGGAUUUUAAAAGGAAGACGGACAAUAAUGGUAAGUAUCACCAUUAAGAAAGUUCGACUUGUCGUAAAGAUGUUUUCCAACAAGUUCAAGGAGUUGACUAUGAUGAGACUUUCUCACUCGUAGCGAUGCUAAGAGUCUAUUGGAAUUAUAUUAGCAACUACUGCAUGAUUUAUGAAAUCUUGCAGAUAGGAUGUCAAAACAUUGUUUCCUCGAUGUUCUUGAGGAAAGGUUGUAUGUGAUACAACCAGAAGGUUUUGUCAAAUCCUGAAAGAUGCUAACAAGUAUGCAAAGCUCCAGCAAUCCUUCUUUGGACUGGAGUAAGCAUCUCGGGGUUGGAAUGUAUGCUUUGAUGAGAUGAUCAAAGAUUUUGGGUUUAUACAAAGUUUAUGAGAAACUUGUAUUUCGAAAGAAGUGAGUGGGAUCACUAUAGCAUUUCUGAUGAGUAUAUGUUGUUGACAUAUUGUUGAUCAGAAAUGAUGUAGAAUUUCUGGAAAGCAUAUAGGGUUAUUUGAAAAGUGUUUUUCAAUGGAAAACCUGGGUUAAGCCACUUGAACAUUGAGCAUCAAGAUCUAUAAGGAUAGAUCAAACCGCUUAACAGUACUUUCAAAUGAGCACAUACCUUGACAUGAUCUUGAAGGUGUUCAAGAUGGAUCAGUCAAAGAAGUGGUUCUUGCCUGAGUUGUAAGGUAUGAAGUUAAGACUUAAAGCUCGACCACGGCAAAAGAGAGAGAAAGGACGAAGGUCGUCCCCUAUGCUUCAGACAUAGGCUCUAUAGUAUGUUAUGCUGUGUACCGCACCAGAAGUGUGCCUUGCCACAUGUCUGGCAAGAGGGUACAAAGGUGAUCCAGGAGUGGAUCACUAGAUAGCGGUCAAAAUUAUCCUUAGAGGAAGAAGGAAAUGUUUCUCGAUUAUGGAGGUGAUAAAGAGUUCAGCGUAAAGGCUUACGUCGAUGCAAGCUUUAACACCUAUCCGAAUGACUCUGAGUAGCAAACCGGAUACGUAUAGUGGAGAAACCAUUUGGAAUAGAUCCAACUGGAGCGUGGAAGCAGCAUUUACAAUAUGACCUAGAGAUCUGCGAAAUACAUAUGGAUCUGAUUGUUGCAGACCGUUGACUAAAACCUCUCUCACAAGCAAAACAUGAUCAAACCCCAGAACUCAUUGAGUCUUAAUCACAUGGUGAUGUGAACUUGUUUAGUGACACUAGUAAACACUUUGGAUGUUGGUCACAUGGUGAUGUGACCUAUCAAUGUUAAUCACAUGGCGAUGUGAACUAGAUUAUUGACUCUAGUGCAAGUGGGAGAGUGUUGGAAAUAUGCCCUAGAGGCAAUAAUAAAUUAGUUAUUAUUAUUAUAUUUCCUUGUUCAUGAUAAUCGUUUAUUAUCCAUGCUAUAGUUGUAUUGAUAGGAAACUCAGAUACAUGUGUGGGUACAUAGACAACACCAUGUCCCUAGUAAGCCUCUAGUUGACUAUCUCGUUGAUCAAUAGAUGGUUACGGUUUCCUGACCAUGGACAUUGCAUGUCAUUGACAACGGGAUCACAUCAUUAGGAGAAUGAUGUGAUGGACAAGACCCAAUCCUAAGCCUAGCACAAAGAUCGUGUAGUUCGUAUGCUAAAGCUUUUCUAAUGUCAAGUAUCAUUUCCUUAGACCAUGAGAUUGUGCAACUCCCGGAUACCGUAGGAAUGCUUUGGGUGUACCAAACGUCACAACGUAACUGGGUGGCUAUAAAGGUGCACUACGGGUAUCUCCGAAAGUGUCUGUUGGGUUGGCACGAAUCGAGACUGGGAUUUGUCACUCCGUGUAACGGAGAGGUAUCUCUGGGCCCACUCGGUAGGACAUCAUCAUAAUAUGCACAAUGUGACCAAGGGGUUGAUCACGGGAUGAUGUGUUACGGAACGAGUAAAGAGACUUGCCGGUAACGAGAUUGAACAAGGUAUCGGCAUACCGAUGAUCGAAUCUCGGGCAAGUACAAUACUGUUAGACAAAGGGAAUUGUAUACGGGAUUGAUUGAAUCCUCGACAUCGUGGUUCAUCCGAUGAGAUCAUCGUGGAACAUGUGGGAGCCAACAUGGGUAUCCAGAUCCCGCUGUUGGUUAUCGGUCGGAGAACGUCUCGGUCAUGUCUUCAUGGUUCCCGAACCCGUAGGGUCUACACACUUAAGGUUCGAUGACGCUAGGGUUAUAGGGAAUAGAUACAUGUGGUUACCGAAUGUUGUUCGGAGUCCCGGAUGAGAUCCCGAAUGUCAUGAGGAGUUCCAGAAUGGUCCGGAGGUAAAGAUUUAUAUAUGGGAAGGCCUGUUUUGGUCGCCGAAAAAGUUUCGGGUGCUAUCGGUAACGCACCGGGACCACCGGGAGUGUCCUGGGGGUCCACCAAGUGGGGCCACCGGCCCUAGAGGGCUGCAUGGGCCAAGUGUGGGAGGGGACCAGCCCCAGGUGGGCUGGUGCGCCCCCCCACAAGGGCCCAAGGCGCCUAGGGUUUGGGGAGGGGGCGCACCCACCUUACUUGGGGGCCAAGUUUCCCCCUCUCCCCCCCUUGGCCGCACCCUAGAUGGGAUCUAGGGGCUGCCGCACCCCUUGGGGUGGGAACCCUAGAGGGGGCGCAGCCCCCUCCCUCUCCCCGAGGUUUUGGGGCUGCCAUACACAAGAGUUUCCACCUCUCCCUGUCGCAGCCUUACCUCUCUUUCUCCUCAUAUCUCGCGGUGCUUGGCGAAGCCCUGCUGGAUCACCACGCUCCUCCAUCACCACCAUGCCGUUGUGCUGCUGCUGGAUGGAGUCUUCCCCAACCUCUCCCUCUCUCCUUGCUGGAUCAAGGCAUGGGAGACGUCACCGGGCUGCACGUGUGUUGAACGCGGAGGUGCCGUCCGUUCGGCACUAGGAUCUCCGGUGAUUUUGAUCACGAUGAGUACGACUCCUUCAACCCCGUUCUCUUGAACGCUUCCGCUUAGCAAUCUACAAGGGUAUGCAGAUGCACUCUCCUUCUCUCUUGUUGCUAGUCUGUCCAUAGAUAGAUCUUGGUGACUCGUAGGAAAAUUUUGAAUUUCUUCUACGUUCCCCAACAGUUUGGAGGGAGCAAACGCAAUGUUGACAUGGAGAUUUCUGGCGUUGUUCCAAUAGGUGGUGCUAUCGUACAUCCACGUUAAUGGAGACUUCAACCCACGAAGGGUAACGGUUGCGUGAGUCCACGGAGGGCUCCACCCAUGAAGGGCCCAUGAAGGACUUGCCUCACUAGGGUAGAUCUUCACGGAGUAGGGGAUCUCCUUGCCCUUACAAACUCCUUGGUUCAACUCCACAAUCUUGACGGAGGCUCCCAACUGACACCUAACCAAUCUAGGAGACACCACUCUCCAAAAGGUAAUAGAUGGUGUGUUGUUGAUGAACUCCUUGCUCUUGUUUUUCAAAUGAUAGUCUCCCCAACACUCAACUCUCUCUCACAGAUUUGGCUAUGGUGGAAAGAUAGUUUGAGUGGAAAGCAACUUGGGGAAGGCUGGAGAUCAAGAUUCAUAUGGCAGGAUUGGAAUAUCUUGGCCUCAACACAUGAGUAGGUGGUUCUCUCUCAGAAAAUGAGUAGUGGAAGUGUAGGUUUGUUCUGAUGGCUCUCUCCACGAAUGAAGAGUGGGUGGAGGGGUAUAUAUAGCCUCCACACAAAAUCUAACAGUUACACACAGAUUGCCAAACUCGGUGGGACCAAACCAGCAAACUCGGUCAGACUGAUUUAGUUCAAAAUGAGAACGCUAGGAAUUUUGGUGGGACCGAUACAGUUAUCUCAGUGGGACCGACAUGCUAGGGUUAGGGCAUAGCAUAAUCUCGGUGUGACCGAUCGCAUAAACUCGGUGGGACCGAUUUCAGCAAAUAGGUACACAGAGGGUUGGUCAGGAAAACUCGGUGGGACCAAUUCGCUCACUUUGGUGGGACCGAAGUGUUGCGAAAAGGAACACGGAGUUUGCAAUGCAGACUCAGUGGGACCGAUUUGCUCAUUUCGGUGAGACUGAAAUGUUACAAAUGGGAAACAAAGAGUUUGCAAUCCCAUCUCGGUGAGACCGAGAUCCCUAUCGGUGAGACCGAAGUAACUAGGGUUUGUGGCAGUGGCUAUGUCAAGUGAAACUCAGUGGCGCCGGAUAGAUCAAAUCGGUGGGGCCGAGUUUGACAUUUAGGUUUAGGAUAUAUGUGGAUAUGGGAAAGUGGUUGAGGUUUUUGGAGCAUAUCACUAAGCAUUUUGAGCAAGUAACUAAUUAAGCAACACCUCAUCCCCUUUUAAUAGUAUUGGCUUUCCUAUGGACUCAAUGUGAUCUUGGAUAACUAAAAUGAAAAUGUAGAGUCUUGAGCUUGUUGCCAAUAUAUGUCCUUUGUAUUUUUAGGGGUCCACAUCUCUAGUCCAUGCCAUGCCAAACAUUGAACUUUUUGAAAUGAUUAUCUUGAAAUAGCAUUAGUUCAAUGAACUAUAUGUUGUUAAGAAUUAUCAAAACCACCUAGGGAUUAGUUGCACUUUCAAAAUCCCAUCUACUAAGUUUGCUAGUCAAUGCUUGGAUGAGUUUGAUAAUUUUAUUGUUGAACAAGAAAACUUCAAUGCUUAUGUUGGUAGACAAUCUCAACGUAAUGCUUAUAUGGUUGCACUUGAGUGAUUAUAUGUCUAGAGUUAAAAGUGAUCUUAAAGCUAUUAGUAAACAUGCUUCCAUGGUUACAACUCAAGUAGAACAAGUACAUAAAGCACAAGAUGAUUUUCUCAAUGAGUGGAAUAGCAAGGAUAAUGAUAAUGUUGUUAGGGUUAUGACUAGGGGUGGUAAAAUGACCCAGGAACAUUUGUAUCCUGAGGGCCAUCCUAAGAGAGUUGAGAAAGAUUCUCAGAGAAUUAAUACUGAUACACCUAGCCCUACUAAGAAAAAGAAUACUGAUAAGACUUUGCAUGCUUCUAGUGAACAUGUUAUGCACACACCUGAGAAUCCCAAUGAUAUUUCUACUUCUGAUGGUGAAACACAAUCUGGUGAUGAACAUGAACCUAGUGAUAAUGUUAAUGACGAUGAUGUUCAUGUUGAUGCUCAACCUAGUAAUGAUAAUGAUGUAGAAGUUGAACCUGUUGUUGAUCUUGAUAACCCACAAUCAAAGAAUCAAUGUUAUGAUAAGAGAGACUUCGUUGAUAGGAAGCACGGUAAAGAAAGAGAACCGUGGGUUCAGAAACCCAUGCCUUUUCCUCCUAAGCCAUCCAAUAAAAAGGAUGAUGAGGAUUUUGAGCGCUUUGCUGAAAUGAUUAGACCUAUCUUUUUGCGUAUGCGUUUGACUGAUAUGCUUAAAAUGAAUCCUUAUGCUAAGUAUAUGAAAGAUAUUGUUACAAAUAAAAGAAAGAUACAGGAAGCUGAAAUUUCCACCAUGCUUGCCAAUUAUACUUUUAAAGGUGGAAUACAAAAGAAACUAGGGGAUCGAGGAGUACCAACUAUACCAUGCUCCAUUAAAAGAAACUAUGUUAAAACUGCUUUCUGUGAUCUUGGAGCCGGUGUUAGUGUUAUGCCUUUCUCUUUAUAUCGUAGACUUGAUUUUAAUAAGUUGACACCUACUAAAAUCUCUUUGCAAAUGGCUGAUAAAUCAACUGCUAUACCCAUCGGUAUUUGUGAGGAUGUGCUUGUUGUGGUUGCAAACGUUACUAUUUUAACAGACUUUGUUAUUUUUGAUAUUCCCGAGGACGACAGUACGUCGAUCAUCCUUGGUAGACCCUUUCUGAAUACUACAGUGGCUGUUAUUGAUUCCAACCAAGGCAAUGUCAAUUUUCAUGUUAAUGGUAAUGAGCAUACGAUACACUUCCCGAAGAGACAACCUCAAGUUCAUAGUAUCAAUUCUAUUGGAAAAUUUUCAACUAUUACCAUUGGAGGUUUUGAAUUCCCUCUUCUUACUGUCAAAAAGAAAUAUGAUAUUCUUAUUGUUGGGGACGUGCAUAUCCUCGUUGAGGUAACCUAGUGUUAUUCGAAAAUUCUCCGGUUUCAUGUUAUUCGAAAGAGGUUUGUUAACAAGACUUGAUCAACCUUGUUAGUGGAUUCCUUUUGAUGGUCAUGAGAUGGAUGAACUUAGAAGGCACAACUUUCUGUACCCUCCUUUUACUUUCUGUUACUUAGUUUAAAUAAAGAAAAAAUAGUAUUUUCUGUCUGUUUUUUUGAAUUAUCCAUGCAAUAAAAAAUAUCCCAAAAAUAAAAGUGCUCCAAAUGCCCUUAAAAUUUAGUAUGAUUUUUUAUACAAUAUUUGAGAAUUUCUGUCACUGAGAACACACCAGGGGGGUGCACUAGUGAACCACGAGGGUGGAGGGCGCCCCCUGCCUCGUGGGCCCCACGUGGCCCCUCCACUUAUUCCAGCACCCACACACUUUGUCUUCCUCCAGAAAAAGUCAUCACGUAGCUCAAACUCAUGUUCUUGCUUGUUUUGCUGUCAUUUUCGAUCUUCUUGCUCAAAGCUCCAUUCACAAAACUGCUUUGGGGGAUUGUUCUUCGGUAUGUGACUCCUCCAAGGUCCAAUUAGUUUUUGUUCUAGUGCUUUAUUUAUUAAAAAAAUUUGCUGCUAAGGUGACCCUGUUCUUGAGCUUGCAUGUCAAAUUUAUAUGGUCCAAAGUAGUUUUAUUCACUGUUAAAAAAUCUUCCAAUUUAGCGAUUAAUCUUCCAAUUUAUCGCUACUCGUGGAGUGACCAAUAAGAUUAUGCCUUAUCUUCGCCGUUUAUAUUUUGAACCGAUUUAUCGCUCUGAGAAGCGAUUUAUCGGGAGUCCACCGAUAAAUAAGACCUAUUCAUAGCAAUAUGUUUGCAAAAACUAUGUUUAUUUGUGUUUUGUGGACCUUAUUAUGCAAUAUUUAUUAUUGUCCUAUUUUUUUUCAUUAUACAAGGAUCCAAAGGCUAGGAAUCUUGGUAACACUUCUGUCAAAUAAUUUUUUGGUGUUGAAUAUAGCGUAUUUUAAUGUUGGGGACCUGGGAUUUGCAAUAAAAUGUCUGAUUAAUAGUCAACCGAUAAAAUCGAUUAAUCGACUGAUUUCCGAUUAAUCUAUAAUCCCCAGCUGACCGAAACGCUAAUGAUAAGCGAUAUCCUCAACAUUGGUUUUAAUGCAUGAUAUAGUCUCUAGACACUUGUGGGAGUAGUUGCUAUCAAUCUUGUUGAGUUUUGCUCACUUUUAUUUCGAGUCACUAACAAUUUCAGAAAUUUUUCGGAGGAAGAAAAAUGUUUAGGAAAAUAUACCAAGGGGGUUCUUCAAGGAAGCAAGCACCGAGGCUUGCGAUACGUGAUCCAGAUCUCGAACCACAAAGAGAAGCUCAAGUGCGGCCUUGUGAAUGGCUGUCAGAUGAAUUCAUGACCCAAGCAAGCUUCAAAGGAAGAAUUUGAUGCGUAUGUGCGUAAUGCUGAUCUUGAGGACUUCAUAUCAGAUAAGUGCCGACAAUAUUAUUACCUCACUGAUUCCUUUGUGCGGAGGUUUAACUUUUCAUCUAAGCACACCACUCAUAGUGUUAUAUUUGACCUCUAUGAUAAAUCAUAUACCAUGGACCUUAAAGAUUUUAAUACUGCUUGCAAAAUCCCACGGUGGGCAUCUUUAGUGAACCUCACAAAUCUGAAAAUAAUAAUUUCCUUGCUAGCAUCACUGUGGGAGAAACUAGAAAUAUCACACAAGCUACCAUAGGGAGCAUUCACUUUCCUGCCAUACAUUACUUUGCUCUCUUUAUAGAUAGAUGCAUUAACGGUAAGCAUGAGCACUGCCACAUCUGCGGCCCAGAUCUUAGUGUCCUCAAGAGUGUGGUAUUAGGUGAUAAACGAUAUAACUUGGGGGGCAUUGUUGCACGAAGGUUACAUCUUAAUGCUAAGGAUGGAGAUUUAUUUGGUGGGAUUUAUGCAACUUGUUUAGCUGAUUAUCUUGGUGUAUCCACAAGAGAAAAUGAUAUUGAGUUGCCACCUGCUUUUCUAGAUUAUAAUGCCAUGGUUUGUUACCAUUUUCUUGAGAGAAACGAUCAGUCCCUCCAGUAUCUACUAAUCUUUGACAGACGACAUGCUAUCCAAAUUACCUUCCCUUCUCCUUCCUUCUUUAACUUUCAGGAAGAAGAGAGAUAUGGUAUUACCAGAGAGGAGGCAAACGAGUAUGAGAGAUCGGCGGAGGACGCUCGUCUCCAGGAAGCAGCUCGUUAGGCGGCAGCUACUGCAGCACAGUACAACCCCAACUAUGAUGUCAGAUAUCAUCCAGGCCAGUGGUGGCCUUAGACCAACUUAGGCCAAAAGCCUAAGCUUGGGGGAGUACGUAUUUCUCACCGACAUUACAUUCAUGUUCACACACUCAUUCUAGUUGUCGGUACUCAUACUUUUUUAUUGUAUUAUUCAUGCUAGUUUAUUUUCUUUUUCUGCUUUCUUCUUGUGUGUUUGAAAAACUUUGAGAAAAACAAAAAAAA